This 74443-nucleotide long non-coding RNA is filed under the name Coffea arabica (coffee). RNAcentral describes it as "long non-coding RNA (CARA_LNC007995)". Lineage: Eukaryota; Viridiplantae; Streptophyta; Magnoliopsida; Gentianales; Rubiaceae. The record is from RNAcentral.
UUUUUUUUUUUUUUUUUUUUUUUUUUGUCGUUGGGUAUCGGUCACUCCGGACUGGUAAUACCGUUUGUGCCACUAUUCCCAUCGCCCGGGGAGAGCGGGCCCCACCGAUCCCCGAGAGUAUCACCCCGGACACUCAGCCUUGGGGUCGAACCCCAGACCUAUCUCACCUAAUGAGGCUACACAAGCCAGCUGAGCUGCCCGUGGGGGGCCUCUUUGUUGUAUCUCUUGAACAACAAUUACCACUCUUAGACUGUAGAGCAAUUUUUUACAGUCAUGUGGAAUAGAAGACUGAACCCAGCUGGGUAGGCUACCCGUACAAAAUGUGGGGAUAAAUGCACGAGUAUGGGGGCGGUUGGCGGUCAUCAAAAUUUUUGUGAGGUCCCAAAUUUGCCUUACCCGUCUCUAGUUAUCUAUCUUUUAGUUAUCUAUCUUUUAUGUGCUGCAACCUUCUUUUUUUUUUUUUUAGCUAUUGGGCCGGUUCAAGAAAUAAUUUGGAGGAAAUGAGAUUGACAUCGAUCGCUGGAUUCAGAAUUGUGAUGCACUAAUUUUUGUCCCUCACAAAGCAUACAAAACAGUGGGGGAUAAUAUUUGUCCCACACAAUUCAAUUUAUGCAAAUUUGGCUGCUCUUUAUGGGACUGCAUCUGCAGAGGUGUCAGUAAGGAGUGAACAAAAAGGAUAGGGACCAAUGACGAUAGGGCCAGUUGAAUUAUCCUUAUAUAUAUAUGUAUCCUUAUAUAUAUAUAUAUAUAAAAGGGGAUAACCAAUGAGGAUGCAUCCAUAUGAAUUUUUGGGUUGGAAAUGAAAAUGGUGAAAGAAUUUUACCAAACAGCAGGCAGCAAGUAAUCAGGAUCAUUAACUUUUCCAAUUUCCACGCUAAAAAGAGUAAAGGGAAGAGGGGAAAGGGAGACCGCCACCAAACAGGCAAUAAUAGCCUUAUAGUAACAUUUUAUAAUAAUACAAGGGUACAUAGAUUGAACCACCGGCGUUGCUCCAGUCGUGAGUCGUGUGAAAAGAGGGCUCGUAAAGCUCUCUUCACCGUUAAAUUCAGGGUUUGAGCUCCAUUUUGGAGAAUUUUUAAAGAAAAAUUACUAUAACAAUUUUUAGGAUGUGAUGUUUAAAUUGCGUUUUUUUUUUGAAAAGUUUCUAAAGAAAAAUUACUGCAGCACUUUUUUAGAAUAUGAUAUACGUGAUGUGAAAAUGUGAUUAAAAAUUUACGUGUAGGAAAAAAUUUACGAGGAAAAAAAAAAAGGAUGAAAUUUGCCUAUGCAAAGACACAAUUCAAGCUGCCCUUUGCUUCCCAACUUGUGCUGUUACCAAAUCUAGUAGGCAAAGGUGCUUAUCCGGUAAUAUUGCUACGACAAUAUAGGAGUGAAUUCACAACUACUCUCUCCAUCUCAUUUUGAUAGGUUCAAUUUUUUUUUUUCAUAUAAUUUAAUAAUAGUUAGUUAAUUUUGUUAGGAUAAUAAAUCUAACUCACUAUCUUUCUAAAAUAUCCAUACAUUAAAUGGAGUAUGACUAAUUAGCUUUAUAUUAAAUAAAUUAGGUUAUACGUAAUGACAAGCUGCAUUAAACCGAGGACUACUUUUAUGAAGGAUCAGGGCCGAGAUGAGCGUGUUUGGAUAGUGAUUAUUUGGCUAAAAAUUAUUUGCUUGAAGCACAAAUAUAAUUUUUAUCUUAUUUUUUUAUCUUACAUACAUUAUAUCAUAAAAAGUGUUACAGUAAUUAUUUCAAAUAAUAUUUAUUUCACAGGAUAUAACUCACUUUUAACAACUUGUAAAUAUAGAAUAAAAUUUUAUGAGUCUCACACGUGACCUUAAAAUAGACGUGCAAUUUGGGCCUUAGAUUUUAUUUUGGUCAAAUCGUGGCCAAAGGUCAACCUUUAAUGUCCGGCGCCUCAUCCCCUGUGAGAAUAAUUUCAGGUGUUCAAAUUAUCUCACAGAUUUUCAAGAAUAUCUAUCAAAAUCCAAGUAGCAAAAUUUUAGGCCUGCUUUCCACGUGUCACAGUGUUGUAUGUUAAUCGUGAUUGUCCACCAUCGAGGACAAAAAAGAAUUGAUGAUGAUUGUCCACAGGGAGCCCCAAAAAGUGAGGCGGAUGCUGGUGCUUUAGCAGAUUGAGAGAUUGGCUCUGGUCUCCAUCAUCCCAGUUUCAACACCGGAAAAGCGCAUGAGAAAACCCCUAGUCAAGCCUUUUUGCGCUGCUGCCUACAACUUGCGUGUGUAACAAUUGCAGGAAUCAGAACACACAACACCAAAAAGGGGAGCGUGUGUGUCAAACUAACCAUUUGGAUAAAAAGCCAUCUUCCUCACUCACUGGGCCCCACCCGCCCCUUGAGUAAUAAUGCACCCACUGUAGCGUACGCAUAUAUUAUUACCGUACUCAAUAAUGCUGUCUCGGUGUCAACAGCCAACAGCUAACCGGACUGAAGAACCUCUUCCCUUCAUCAAAACCCAGAAAAAAACUACUACUAGUAGUGUAGUGUAAUCCCAUCUGCAAAAUUUCCAAUCCCAUCAAUCACAAUACGAGCACUAGUAGUAGUAGUAGUGUAUCUGCAUUUUUCUUGAUCCUGUCCUGGGGAGGAUCAUAGACCCUUGCGAAGAAACCAAGCUGGUCUAGUCACCCACAUUACUUACUACUUACAUCUGAAGCAAGUAGGGACCUCAGCGAACGAACUUACUUGGGAUGGUGUAGUAUAUCUGCAUUUUGCCGCAUAUUACACACUGCAGCAACCUCUCAAAAUUUCCAACUUUCUCAUGAACCAAGAAGAUCUAUCAGAAUCUUUGACACCACUUUCUUCUUCCAUGUUAGUAGUAAGUAAUAAUUAACUCCCCAAAAUUCCACAUUCGAGUUCCUAAUAGUACAAUCAAUCAGUGAUGAUGAUGAUGAUGAUGAUGAUGAUGAUGAUGAUGAGAUACAGAGAGAAAAUUCAUCAAGUUCCACAAAUGUGUAUUAUUUGUAAAAUUACCAAAUCCAAACGCUGAGCUCCCCAAUUAUUUAUGGCAUUAAACAACUACUGCCAUGGUAUAAAGAAUAAUAUUUAUGGCAUUAAUCAUUAGUCAUUACCCGUAAAAUAUACUCCUACUGUAUGAUUCCACACCCAAACUGUUGUGUAUGCCAAGGGGACAAAAAAAAAAACACAAAUUUAAAAAAAUAUUUUUGUGUUUGGAUUGCAUUUUUCAUGAUUUUUUAUGAAAAAAUUACGGUAGCGAUUUGAUGUAUGUGAGGAAAAAAGAUAAUAGGAAAAUGUGAUCAUGGAAAACGAUGUAAUUUUUCGACGAAAAAUCGCAAUCCAAACAAGGCAUUAGUAUUUAUAACUUUUCCUUUAUUUGCGAGUUCCUUCAGAACAGGAGGAAGAAGGAAAGAGGGGCCGAAAUUGGGCAGAUUUAUUACUUACAUUACUGCUGUAACUUCGAAAGUUUUCAUCCAUUUAUGACCGGAUUUGGCUGAAAAGCUGGAGAAAGCUUUGUACAGUUUUCAUCCAUUUACUACUGUUCUUGAAUGGCUUCAAACUAAAAUUUUCAUGACAUCUUAAAUUGAUCAUCCCAUUUCUAUCUUAAACUCCCAAAAUAUUAAAAUCUCCUCUCUUCUUUUUUUACCCUUUCUUUUCUCUUCUUUCCUAAUCUAUCCUCAACCCCCCAAACUAGCCAUACAUAAUAUUACUUUUUUUUUCUUUUGGCCACCAAAUAAAAUAAUCCAUCAUAUGUAAUACUGACUCGCAAAGGGAUAGGAGAAGCACAGAAAUGUCACAUUUCAUUGGCCCAUCAAAAGUACAUAUGUCUUCUCACAAUGCUUAGCUACUAAGCAAAGACUUCAAUAAUGUACAAGAAGGAAGGAAGGACUGAAAAUAGGUAUGCAAGCACCCACCUAAGCAGAGUCCAUGAAGAAGUUGUCCACCUAAGUAGCAAGCACUAAUAAUAAUAAUAAUAUAUUGAUUACUUGAGAAGCAGUAGCAGCUAAAACUUGAAAUUUCCUGCGGAGAAAAACAGAAAAGAGAAUUCAGCCACAUUUCCAUUUGCAACCGGGAAAAUGAUUCUUGGCCAGCCCAAGAAUACACCACUUUAGCUCAGAUUCUUGUGUAGUAGUAGUAGUAUUUGACAAGAGAAUAAACAAAUGGCUCGUGAAGAAAGGAGAAGCAUCUUUUUACUAAAGUCCGAAAAUUUUUAUAUACUCGAGAAGGAAUUUUGCCUACCACAUUUCCUUUUCCUCGAAAUAAUAAUAAUAGAAAAAAAAGUAGAAUUUUCUUCCUCCUCCUUUUUCUUUUCUUUAUACAUUCGGACUCCAAAGACUCCAUAAACGCGAAUUCAGCAGUCCCAACACAUCCGGCAACACUUUUCUAGCUAGUCCUUUGUGGUUACUCGCCGGCGCCGCUCCUCUCACAAUUAAAGCCGUCUCCGGCGCAGUCUCCGUCACCACAUCCUCCUCCUCCUCUUUUACCACUAUCAAGGCCGCCGCUGCCGCUUCACCAGUAUCUCCACUCUCAGGCACCAGUACCCCAGCUGAUGACUCCGGCGAGAAAGCCUCAUCUUGCGGCACAGAAGAGCUACUCUCUUGAAUCUCCGGCGAUCCAUUUCCUGUUUCGGGCAGCGGAAAAUCCACUAAUUUCUGAGUCCCACGCCGGCCCAUUUUGUCUCUUCUCUUGUUCUUCCCCUUCUUGGACUGCUCGCCGUUAUUCAAGUGCUCCUCGAAGGCUUCAAUGGCUUGGUGGAUAAGCUCCCGGUUAGGUGAAGAAUCCCACCUAAACCAGUAGCUAGUGUAACAAUCAAAGCACUCGCAGUCAAACAAAGGAGUACUUUUGUGGAGGUGGGCACCGGUAUUUGCUGAUUUUUUGGAGUUUUUCUUGGAUUUUUCAUCGAGAAGAGCUGAUGGGUUGGUAGUCUUGAUGGACCUAGUGAUCAUGUAAGCCAAUACUUCGCGGUCCUCGAGAGAAAGGACUGCUGCUAUAGCAAGAAUAGCAGCAGGCAAGAGUUUUAGAACAGAUAAAGCAUCUUUGUUGUUGUGGUGGGAAGAAUGAGACGAAGAGGAGGAAGAAGAUGAUGGGGAAGGAUGGACUUUACCCUUGUUCCGCAUUUUCACAUUUCUCUCUUUUUUGGCCAAAAAAGAUCUAAAGGGUAUCAGGGAAACGAUAUGGUCAUAGAUGGUAAAAGGGCUAUGUAGAGAGAGAAAGGCUUUUUGGGUUGGGGGAUUGAGGGGUUUUGUGGUGGGAAGGGGGAGAGGGGUUGGGAUAGGGGAGGGGUUCGGGGAUGCUGGAGGAAGGUAGGGUUUGAUUUUCUUGAUGGCCACGGUAGACCAGAGAGAGAAACGAGAAGGAUGGGGGGUCCUGGGCGAUCGAGGGGCUACAAUUUCUUAUAUAGUGUUAGGUUUGGACCGGGGCUUGGUUGGUAAAAAAAUGUUACACUUUUCGGUGCUAAAAGCGUACUGUUGAAGCGUUUGAUGAGUAUCAUUCAAUGAAACUAGGAGUGGAUUUUUUUUUUUUUGUUGUUGAAAGCAGCCAAAGUUUGGAUCCCUGUUUUUUUUGAGUGUUUUUCAAAAAUUAAUUUUUUAAAUAGAAUAAAAAUUUUUAAAAAGUACUUUAAAAGGUAAUCUAAAAAUCAGUUUAAAUUUUUUUAACAUUUUAAAAAAUAUCUCAAAAUAUAUUCUAGAAACUCUUCUACUCUUAAAUAUUUCAAAGUAUUUUCUAAAAAUAUUCUAAAAACUCUGUUACAGCAAAGUAUCCCAAACGGAUGUUUUUAGAAUAAUUUUUGUGUUUUAAAAAUAAAAUAUUAAAUUUAAUUAUUUUAUCCUAUAUUAUGAAGUAAAUAAAGAUAUAAGUAUAUUUAAAAAUUUUAAAUUACAUACUAUUCAAUAAAAUAAGUAUAUAUUAAAAUAUGUAAUUCAAAUAAUAUACUUAAGAGUAUUUGAACACUUAAUAAGUGCUUUUAUUAAAAAUUUUAUUAGGUAAAACACUUAUUUUUUAUUAAGUUAUCACAACUCCAAAUAGUCCCAAGUUCCGAUCCUGCGUUGCAUUCAUGAUAGUAAUAGGCUAGUGUAGCACUCUUUAGUUUUCGUUAGCUUUUGUCUCUUUUAAUUUCUUUGCUAACUAUUUUUUAGGUUAUUUGAGGUCAAGAAGUUAAAGUUGGCGUGCAUUAAAAAGCCGGACAAGUGAGGAAGGAAUGUCCACGGAAAUAUAAAGAAACUUGCAAAUUGAAGAAACAAAGAGGUUUCAUUUGUUCUGAACUAAAAUGUGUUCUGAACUUAUGUUAUAAUAAGUUUUGAAGUGUAUUGUGGAAGUGUAUUAUGCUCACAUGAUUGUUUUUGGGUAUUUUUUAAGAAAACUAUAUGGGUGGGAUAACGUGUCAGAAGUUAAGUUUACUUCUAAGUUAAUAAUCUUGUUUGGAAAGCCAUUUUUUCAUCAAAAUUUUUUUAUAUUUUUCAUAAACACAUUUUUUAAUCACCUUUUUACCUCACAUAUACCAAAUCGCUAUAAUAUAUUUUCUACAAAAACUCCAAAAAAAUUACAAUCCAAACAAGACAAAAAAUAUGAAUUUAGAAUCUCUUAUUUAUAACUCUUCCUAAUUUACUAUCCAAUCCAAUCAAACCCUUCCCAACUAAGUUGAAUUAGACAAAGAUUGCAAAUUUGAUGGCAUAUAAUGACUGUUGGAGCGAUAGCUCUUUUAAAUAAAAAAAAUAACAAACAAAAAAAGCAAAACCAACGCAAAUAAAAAGUUAGGUCGGGUGGGGGAUUUGGGCCAGCGGCUUGCCAGGAAUUUUUAUUUUUUAUUUUUUGUCAGUAACGAUGCAUUCCAACUAAAUCAAGGGAGUGCUUUAACACAAUUCUUAAAUUUUUUUUUGCUGCAGGUACCUACAGCCCAAUGAGGGACUUAAGCCCCUCCCUGGUGGCGACUGAGCCAUUGGCCCAGUGGUUUGCCAGGAAUUGGUGGGCAACAUUUAGCAGGGACAGAAAAAAGCAUUGAUUACCACCACCACCGAUGAGUGGGAUAAAGUCAUAAAAACAAGGAUUAAUUACAUUUACCUCUCAAAUAUUUUGUUCAUAUUACCAAACAAACCCUAUAGUUUGGCCAAAUAAUGAAUAUCCCAUGACACUCUUUUCACCAGUAAAUAAUAAACACACACAUCCAGAAUCUAAGGUAAUUCCACAGGUUUACCCAAAAGGCAAUUGCUAAUACCCCAUGACACUCACCUCCGUUAUUUUAGUCUAAUAGAAAUUGGGAAAAGUCAAAAUUGCCCACCGGAGAAUUGGAGGCUAAAAAAGCAUAUUAAUUCCAAAAAACAUAUUCAUGUAGCGAAAAAGAUUUUUUUUUUUAUAGAGUUUUAUUCAAAGUUGAACUUUAAAUGAUUCGGAUAUUUAUUCAAAGUUGAACUUUAAAACAUGUAUAUGUACCGAAAAUCCCAAUGCCUGCUCUAUUAUGUGAGAGAAGAGUCGAUUACUAUCGAGGCCUAAGUCUGCUACUAAUUUUUGCUGAGCACUCCAGCUCUAAAUGUAAUUGCUAUUUCUUUCAUGUCAAUAAUGUUUUUUAUUUGUAGAUGAUCAUGAGCUAGUAAGAAGGGGAGAAAUUAGAUAAAGACUUUAGACUGCCAAUUUUUCUCAAUUUUUCCUCCAGGGGAAGUAUAUGUAAUUAACCCUAAAAGCAAAUCCAACUGACUAUUUGGUUUUGGCGCUGCGUUUAGCAUCACUGAUUACUGUGCUCUCAGCCGAAUAAAUGGGCGGUCCAUUGCAAUUACAGUUGUAUCAUAUUUACGCACACUCAAAUUGUCGUGGUGGUAAAUUGAGAAAUCACCACACAUAUCUUCUGCCCUUUUUGUACAGCCACUGGCAUUUAGGCACUCGUAGCCCGUCUGCAAUAGGAAGUUAAUCCUAGGUAGCUAUUUUUGAAAAAAAAAAUUCCAUUUGAAGCUAUUUUUCUGGGUACAAUUUAUCAAGCGUAUCGUAUGUGCCCAACCAAAGCCUAAAAUACUUGUUGCAAUAUGCACAUUGCAACCCUUCGAUCAAAAACUUGAAUACCAUCGGGGCUGAGGAUGGACUAGGGGUGCAAAUGAGCCGAAUCGAGUCGAACUUUGGUCUAAUCGAAUUGCGCCUCCAAUUAAUUGUGUGAAGCUCGAAUUCGAGCUCGAGCUCGACGAGCUCAAAAUGUGUCGAGCUCGAGCUCGAACUCUGAGUUUAAAAAAUAAAAAAUAAUAAUAAAUUUAUUUUUUAAAAAAUAAAAAAUAAUUAUUUAUUUUUAAAAAUGAAUAAAAUAAUUAUUUUUUAAUAAAUAAUAAAAUAUUAGGGAUAUAUGUGUAAUUUUACUAUUAAAAUAAAAAAUAAAAAAAAUAAAAUUGAUUUCGUGAGCCGCUCGCAAGCCAACGACCUUAAUGUUUUUGAGCUCGAGCUCGAGUUCGAUAUUGACCGAGCUCGAGUACGAGCUGACCUUAAUGUUUUUGAGCUCGAGCUCGAUAUUGACCGAGCUCGUACUCGAGCGAUCGCGAGCGGCUCGAUUCAUUAACACCCUAGGAUGGAUGUUGUCUUUUUUCUUUUUUUCUAAAAAAAAGAAAAAAGGAAAAAGAAAAAUUGAGUCGAGAUCAAUUUAAUAAUAUGGUUGGUUUUGGAAGAUAUUAUCCUGGGAAACUCGUGAAGUGCUAAAAGUGGUUUUAAGUAUAAAUUAUAAUCCGUGACUCCAAAAAUAUCAAGACCUACAUGCACGUACUCUGCCUGCAUCAUAGUCCAAAAGAAAGGGAUCAUAAUUGCCAUCCGUUAUCACAAUUCACAGAACACCAGAGAAGAGACCAAGCGCGUAUGUGUGCCGCCUGCUUGAUAUACAGAAGUACAACACGUUUUGAUGGGAUGGGAGACAAGUUUCAUGGCAUUACCUAUUUACCUUGCAUCUUGAGAUCACUAAUAUCAGCGAAGCCAACAGAUUAAAAUCCAAUAGUACCAAAAACGUUGACAAAAGAAACACAACCGAUUCAAGUGGGAAUUUGGAAUACACAGGAGUUCUUUAGUUUCAGAAGUGAGAAAAGAAAAGAGGAAGUCAGUCAUUGGCGGAGGGUGGGAAGUGGAAGGAACAAACGAGUCCCAAUAACAGGAAGGAAGAAACUCAUUAAGUAGGAGUAUUAUACCACUACUACUCUUAUUCAGUCUGCCUUUUUGCCGUCCGCCUGCUGCGAUCUGUUCAUUGCAGCUGAACGCUUGUCUUCUUCAAUCUUCGAAUGUAUUUCAUCCCUCUCCUUGAAAUACCUCUCGAAUGCCCUCGGAAGAAAACGAGGGAUAAGAAAACAAAAGAGAUUGACGAAGAAAUACACAAAAUUUGCAGCCGCCAGGCCCCUUCCGAACCAAAACCAUGCGAUGUCCUGAAACAAGCAAUCAACGCAACGCAACGCAACUUGUCAGGAUCACAACAAAAUACUACUAUUUAACUUGCACCAUAAACACAAUUUUCAAUUACAUUCAUAAAAAAAAGGUGUUACGGUAUUGUUUUGAAAUAAUCUUUUUCCCCAAAUAGUCUCCGACGCAAUUAAACACACCUAUGCAUGAGUUGAGUUUAUGAUCAAUGCACUGCUCGACUUGCUUACCACUAAUUUAAUAAUUAAUCAAAAGCCACAAAAUUGCUUUGCGCAAUUAAUUACCCGGAAUUCAGCAUUUGCAGGCAAAGUUUUGUUCAGCCAGACGUCAUGUAUCCAAUCAAUGAUGACGAAAAUUCUCCUCACAGUGUAAAGCAAGGGGACUAGUGCUCUAACCGGAGGCGAGAACAACGAAAGCCCGCUUAUAAUGUUCUCGGUGAGUAUCUGAAAUGAGAGCAAGAAGAGGUGAGGGGUGGCUGACCGGACGGCAUGCUCAUCCCCUCUUGCAAAUCCUCCCAGAACAUAAGCUAAGGGCAAAAACAGGCCUACAGUAGUCCCGACAACUACAUAAAUUCGGAAAAGUCGACUUCCGCGGAAUAUCUCCUCCGACCCAGUUGUUCUACCAUGGGAUGGAAAUGCCAACCGGGAGAGUGUAAUUAGAUAAGCAGUGGUGAAUGCGGGAUACACAAUGUCAAGGAUGGGGACUAGGCCACUGGCAGAGAACACCAUAAUAAAUGCGACUAGUUGGAGCUCUAUGACACGGAGGGAUCCCAUUACUCCUCCAGCCGCUGCCACCUGCUGCUGUUGCUGUGGAAGUGGCUUCGGCGCCUGCUGUAGGCGAUGUUUUGUUCCGGAGCCGGAGGUCAUGGUUGUUGUCGUUUGAUCGUGCUCGGUACGGGGAGCCCCUGCAAUUGAUAGGCCUGACAUUUUCAAUUAGUAUUCUGCAGACGGACCAAAAUGUUUUUUUUUUUUGGAAGGUGUGCUGUGGUGGUAGAUUUCUUCGCGCAAUUAACCCCUGCCAAAGAAACAAGAAAUUUAAAAAAGAUUAAAAAAAAAAAAAGGCUUUUUCUAAGCGUAUCAAAACGACUACCAUUUCUGGAUACCAACAAUAUUAUGCUAGGCCUGGAAAAACGGGGAACAAUCAACAAUAAUAAAUGUUGCAGCAGCAGAGAACCAUAUAAGGUCAUGUCUUGUCUGGCAACAUAUACACCAAAAGAGUCGAGGGUCAAACAUAUAUACAGGUAGUGAGGAGGGCUCUUCUUGUUGGUGUUGGCUCGGAGCUCUUCGAUCUGCGGAGCUGUAGAAACAUACAUUUUGAAAUGAAGCCGGGGAAGAAAAAAGGCCCCGCUUUUGUGAGUGUACGUACUGCCAAGGUUUUAGCUUAGAAAUAUGGAGCAGUAUAGUAUAGAGAUCUCUGUCAUUAAGCAUCAAUUAAAGAUACUACUUAGUAUUUAUUAGACACACAAGUACACAAUGGCGUGCUAUCUUUAUCCAAAAUACUUCCUCUUGGUACAUCAUACAUGGCUCUCUCUCUCUCUCUCUCUCUCUAUAUAUAUAUUUAUAUUGGACCCAUGGCUCUCUCUCUCUCUCUCUCUAUAUAUAUAUAUAUAUAUAUAUAUAUUGGAAUGGUUGUGCUAUGCAGGCAAAUUUGGGCUCAGCUUUAAAGAGGAAAGGGGUAAAACGCACUGCAGAGCCCAACCAACCUGUAUGUAUAGCCCAUCAAUUCGUGUAUUACCCGAGGCGUUAAAUGUAGGAGCAAAAUUUUACCACCAAACACAUCAUCAAAUGUAUGUCGCUGUUACGUUACGGGAGAGAGAUUGGUCGGAUGGUUUCAGGGAGAGAGAUUACAUUUUUUAAAAAAAAAUGUGUAUCAUCAAAAUGGUCCAUAACAAAAUCAGCAGCAUGUAUGAUUACUACUACUACUACUACAAAAAAAAAGAAAAAAAAAAGAAGAGAAAGAAAGAAAGAAGGAAGAAUUAGAAGAAGCCAAUGACGUGUUUCAUAAACUCAGAUCAUAUAUAUAUAUAUAUAUAUAUAUAUAUAUAUAUAUAAACGAGAACUACUAAAUUCAUGCAAACUAUGAGAUACAGGAACAUCAAAUAUCAAGACAGAUGCACAACAACAUAUUAGUAUUCCAUAUAAUUGAUAAAAACAGGUAAUUCUCAAAAGGGGAUAGAGAUUCCAGACCAACUUACUCACCGCGCAAGUUAACAGCACGACGGAUGGAUGAGGGAUCAGAGGAAUAAGUGUUAAUAAAACUGCAGCUACUGGGAUCAGAGGAGAAAUUGAGAAGCAAUUUAGGAUCAUAUGAUUGGUGAGUAGGAGGAGUUGUUUUGAUGUCCAGUCCAUAUGUUGUCUGCGGAGCACUGAAACGUGUAAGCUGUUAGCGGAAUACAUGUUCUACGAUCCACGUGGGUCCGUUAUUGAACAACGCGUGGCAGCCUCAACCGUUUCGUUUGCUCCCUUAAUACUCUGUUGUGCCGCUAACAAUUGGACCCCACGCACGAAUGAAACAAACAAAACUCAGAGGGGGGAUUGUAAAAACAAAAUCCAGCCUCCCUUGUUGUGUGGCCGUAGCAUUGUGAAUCAAAAAAGGACUCGUUUCAGCAACUUAGGUGUAUUUGGAUGGCAUUUUUCUAGUUUUUUUUUUAUAAAAAAAAAAAAUUAUUGUAACGAUUUGAUAUAUGUGAGAUAAAAAGGUAAUUGAAAAAUGUGUUCAGAAAAAACGUAACAAUUUUUUUUUGAAAUCUACAACCCAAAUACACCGAAGUAGUGUUCAGUGCGUGCCAUUAAUAGAAAAAUAUUAUUAAAAUUUUAAGUAAUUUUGUAGUAUCAUUUUUCAGAAGAAUUGGUUUUCAUAUUUUUGACAAUAGAUAUUAAAAAAUUCACCGAAAUAGAUAGCUAUUUAGAAAUAAUUCAUGACCAUUAUUGACAUUUGAUCGUAUUAGAUGGUUAGCAAGAGAAGCUUAGAAAAAAUAUAAAGUGACACAAAUUUAUUUACACCAAAACUUUCCUCUUCCUUUAUUUAUUUAUAUAUAGUAUGUAUAGAUAUCGAAAAAUUUUAUAGUAAUACAAACUUCACAAGAUUGUGAGAACGAACUCCUUUAUUUCCUCCAUAGGUAGAAUAUUUUUGCUAUGUAUCAUCAGUUUGAGCGAUUAGGGUUAAAACAAACAAAAUAAAAAAAAAAAACCAAUUGAUCAAAUCCAUCAGACGGAAUAAUCAUCUGUCUAUUCAUUUUCCUGUCUAAUAUAAAACUAUAUAGUUCGACUUACUUAUACUGCUGAACAGGUAACAAACGUAAAAGAAUGAAGGACAGAAUGACAAAGAAAUUUAUUGCCGCCUGUUACUCAAACCGGAACACAGCCCUCAAACGUUCGUAAUCAUCCAGGGAGACGAGGAGCAUCGGUUUUUCUCAUCUUCCUGAUUUAGUUACUGCUGCUGUUAUAGUAUAUGCCUAAGCACUCGAUCGUACUAAUUACCCGUCAAAAGGCUCAAUUCUUAGCCAUAAAAUAGAUCUCCUUAGUUCCACAAGAAUUGCAAGAAACUUGGUAACGUAUACUUUGUUAGGCAUACCGUAAUAAUACAGGCAUAAUUAGUCACCGAGGUUAACGACCAAUUCGGAAUUUGGAUAGCCGUAUUUAAUCAAUCAAUUAGUACCAUUAGUAUUUUGUACUCCCAAGUUUCCAUGUAUCCAUUGCUCAAAAGGCUGGCUUAACUCAAAGCUGAAGGAUCAGGAUCAUCAUCAUCAUCCACGAAAUGAAUCUCUUCUAUGUUUGGUAGUAUCAAGGAUUAACCGCUUCUUCAUAAUUUACCAACAACAGCAGAGCAUUUAAUUAUAAUCAAUGAGCUGAAAUAAUGAAAAAUCAGCAUUCUCCGUUUAGCAGUAGCAGCAUUAUCAUCAAUUUCUUCCUUGCUCCCCCCUGGCCUUCCCCCCACCCACGCCCCCGGGGCGAAAUACCACAGAAAAAGAAAAAAAAAAAAAGUGAUAAUUUGGGGAAGAACCAAAAUGGCAUUUCGUACUACUUCCUCCUCAAGUUACCUGGUGGCACAAUUCCACAGCAUCCCGACUCAAGAAUCAAAUCCCAUUCUUAUGUCCAUCAGAACCGUAGAUCCAAAUCCAUGGUAAGCUGUUUACAGAAGUACAACCCCCAAAGCCAAAACUAAUUCUAGAAAGAAGGCAAAGACAAAACAUGCCAUGUCAUCACAAAAUACUAACAAAAUAACAAUCUCCAAUCCCACGCAGCACAAACUUGUGCAGCAGCUAUACAUGGCUCGACACUAGGCGUGUCAGUAGACAGCGGUAGUGCUUUCCCGGCAACUCAGUUGCCUUGCACCCUGCAACUGAGAAAUGGGGAAGGUACUAAACUAUUCAAGAAACGUUUCACAAAUUAGUGCCAAAAGAAACGUUCACAAAUUAGUGAUCUUGACCUUUCUACUUCCCUUACAAGAAACGUUCACAAAUUAGUGCCAAAAGAAAAAAAAUGGCGGAAAAAAAAAAAUUUCCAAGCUUCCUCUUUUAAUUCAUUCCCACUAUUUCUUUUUGCAUUCUAACACAUAGCAAGCACUCCAUUACUGCUAGUCUAAAGUUUUCUGCCUCUUCAGUUUCCCCUGUUUACUUGGAAAUUGGAAUCCAACCCCCGCCCCCUUCUUCUUCUUCUUCUUCGAAAAAAAAAAGCCUCGUAGAUUACCACUAUCAUAGAGGUACUGACAUUUAUAGUGUUACAUUUUGGCUUUGUGGAUUUAUAUCAGAUAUAUAAGCUCUUGAUAUUUUGAACUUGUUUUCUCGGCACAGAGAAAGAACGAGAAGGAUCAGAAUCCAGAAGAGAACAAUUCUUUAGAGACUUCAGAGGUCAAAAGCAAAGAGGAGAAUAUGAGCCCAAAAGGAAAUAUUGUCCUGCAAGUGUAUAUUCAUUGUCCAGGUUGUGAGGAAACUGUGGUCAAGAGCUUGAGGGGCUACGACGGUAAAUUGAAAAAAAAAGAUCCACAUUACUUUUGUGAAUCUGUAUCGAUACAUGGUUUUUUUCUUCUUUUUCUGUUAGUAAUGUGGGUGAAAAUGUGUAGGUGUCGAAGGAAUUGAGGUGGAUUCAAAGAAUCAUAUAGUUAUUGUCAAGGGAGAAAAGGCUGAUCCCACGAAGGUGGCAAAGAGGCUCAGGAAAAAAAGCGGCAAAUAUGUUAAGUUGAUCUCACCCAUUCCGCCAAAGGACAAGAAAGAAGAAAAGAAAGAAGAGAAAAGAGAGGUUUACGUUGUUAGUGCUAAUCUUACUAAAUAUGUCCAAAUUUUGUGUUCAUCAGUUAGAUGUUAAUCUUUGUUCAAUCACAUGUUUUACUUUAAUCGAAUUUGAUUGGUUGUUAAUGGGAUGUUUGUGCAGCCUAAGGGGGUUGAAGUGGUGCUUAAAGUGCACCUGCAUUGCGAAGGCUGUGCCAAGGAUGUUAAGCAUUGCAUCCAUAAGAUGCCUGGUAUGUUGAACUUUCGUAUAUUGAUAAUUGGAUUCUUUUACCCUUUUCCUUUUUGCCUGUCCAGUUUGCAUUAAUUUUUCAGUUGAAAUGUUAAAACUGGAACUGAGAGAGAGUGUCGUUGAUUUAUGGUUUGCAGGAGUACGAACUGUUGAGCCUAAUAUGGAGAAGAAUAUGGUGACUGUAAAGGGAGGAAUUGAACCACAAAAGCUUGUGGAGUUUGUGAAGAAAAGAGCAGGGAAGCAUGCUGAGAUUGAGAUUGUUAAACCAGAAAAGCAAAAACAAAGUGAGGACAAGAAGAAUGGGAAAGAAUGCGAGACUGAGAAGCAUUGCAACAAGAGUGGUGGGAAAGAAUGGUACGCCAAUUUCUGCCCUGAACUUGUCUAUGCCCCUCAAUUGUUCAGCGACGAAAAUCCCAAUGCCUGCUCUAUUAUGUGAGCGGAGAUGAGAAUUGAGAAGAGUCGGUUACUCUCGAGGCCUAAGUCUGCUACUAAUUUUUGCUGAGCACUCCGACUCCAAAUGUAAUUACUAUUUCUUUCAUGUCAAAAAUGUUUUUUAUUUGUAGAUGAUCAUGAGCUAGUAAGAAGGGGAGAAAUUAGAUAAAGACUUUAGACUGCCAAUUUUUCUCAUUUCUCACUUUUUCCUCUAAAAGGACAAGAAUACACAUUCGUAUGUGAGCGCGCGCGUACGUGUUUUUGUGCACUAUAAGACAGCUGCUUAUGAUAAAAAAUACUAGUAGAUCUUUCCGGUUUGGAUUGCUAUUUUUAAGAGUUUUUGUAAUAUGGAUUGAUGUAUGUGAUAUACAAAGAUGAUUGAUAAAUGUGUUUACGAAAAACGUAAAAAUUUUCCGCAUUCCAAACAAGUUAUAUACCCAAUAAUUUCAUCCCUUAAUUAAGUCCAAAAUAAAAGGAAAGAAGAGUAAAUUAUUAAAAACGGUCCAAUCAAAAAGCAAGUGGAUACAUUUUUCAGCCUAAUUUCUUCUUGUCUUGGCACUUGUCUAAAAAAGAAUAUGUGAUCCACCAACAUUAAUGGGAUGGGGAAUGGGUAAAUGGUAAGCUAUUAAAAAUAAGAGAGUAUGAUGAUUGAGAAAUUAUAGAUAAUUACGUUUAUGUUUGUAUGAAUGAAAUGUGUACUAUAAUGAGAAUUUUUCAAAUAAAAAUUUUAAAUAAGGAAAGCUAAGGAAGAGGUGUCCAAGACAACACUGACCUGGGAAAAAUUAAUUAAAACAAAAGUCAACGUGGACAUGGCUUGAGCUUUGGUUUACAUACAGGGUUAAUUGCAAUUUAUCCCAUAAAUGUCUAUCCUAAUUCUUUUUUACUUUACCCCUUAGCUUUAUUUUGUGUCACUUAACCUCCUAAAAAAAAAAAUACCCCCUCUACUAUGUAAGUUUUUUUUUUCAUUUUUUCUCUCUUCUCUUUUUUUAAUUUCAAAUUAGUUUUCUUUUAUCAAAUUUUUGUUUCUAAGAAAAUAAUAAAUUUUUCUAACAAAAAUACUAUAAUAUUUUUUUGAUGUAAUAUAUGCAAAAUAAAAAGGUAAUUAAAAAAAUUGUUGAUGAAGUUAGUAAAUAUUGAUAAUUGAAACUACUAAAAAUAUUAUAACACUUCUUUUAAUUUGAUAUAUGCAAGAUAAAAAGAUAGAUUGAAAAAUGUGUUGAUGCAAGCAAACAAAUAUUACUAAUUGCUACUAAAAAUUAUUGGUAAUUGAAACUAGAGUUAUUUAAUGAGUUCAAUAGAGAUAGUUAGGAUGCAUAAGAGAAAUUCGCCAUUUAUGAGGUCAAAUUUGGAUAAAUAAGAGAAAACGUCACCCGAGAAUGAGAAGCCCAUCCCGGCUCCCGCCACAAACCAGAAACCGGGACCACAGCAACCUCGCAAACAACCCACAACGUUACAAUUUUUCAACCACUUACAUUUCGCCACGCCUGCAAAACCACCGGUCCCAGGUCAAAGCAACUCUUUUGGUUCACCCGGCUCAUGUUAGCUUCAGCCCCUGAAAACCAUUCAACAACCCCCAUCCCCGGUCAGGAAAAAGAUCCGUUAAACGAAACUCCGUUAGAUUCCUCCACGUGUCCAAGUUCCUCCCCGUCGUCAAAAUCUACCCGUUAAAUCUAAUUCCUCCAUCUUCCUCUUUCUCUUUCCCUCUCUCUCUCCUCUGCAACGUCUCCAUUGACGAAGAAGAAAAAAAAAAUUCGAAAUCCAAUUUUUGUUGCAUUUUUCCAUUUUUUUUCAUAAAAGAUUUGAGAAAUGGGAAAGUUAAUUUGCGACUCGACGGCGUCGUCACCGGUCAUCCCAUGGAGAGACCCAACUUCAACUCCAACGGUGGAUCUCGUUGACCAGUCAACGGCCGGCCCGCCAACAACAACGACGUCGUGGGAUGACGUUUCAGGAUUAGAGGAGCAGCAGAAAAGGCACCUGACGAGGCUGCAGGCAAAAGGGGUUUUGUGGAAGCAUCCAGAGGAUCAGAACAUGUCGGUCGUCUUCAGGUUAAGUCACGGCGGAGAGGUGGAAGCCGACGGAAAUUGUUUGUUUACGGCGUCGAGGAAGGCCAUGGGGUCAGUUUUAACGGCAAAGGAGUUGAGGCGGAGGACGGUGAGGAGGUUCUUGGAGGAUCUUGGAUCCGCGACUAAUGAGGUCAGGGAAAAGAUUGAAUCGGCAAUUAAGCAUAUGUAUUCGCCGGAUCUGAAGUCCGGUUGGGGGAUCCAUGUGGUUCAGGAGAUUAAGUUGUUGGCUAAGAAAGAAGAUCGUCUGGGUCUUGAUUCCGCCAUCAAUGAGCUACUACAGCUUGGGAUGCAGAGGUAUUUCGUAUUUAUGUUUCUUUUCUUGUUUCUGUUUAAAAGAAUAACCUCUCUUUACUUUCUCGUCUUAAAUAUUGGUCUGUUUCCAUUUUUUAGAGUUUUCCUUCAUCUUUUGGAAAACUAUGGCCAUUUCUUGGUUUUGGGUUCUUUAUUAUCCGCUUUAAUUUUAUGCCGUAAGUGGCCUUAUUUUCCUUCUUAGGUGAAAGUUGGAAACAGAUGAAUGUAAUGUAUCGACGCCUGUGCCAGUGGCCUGCUUUAUCUUUCAUGUUUUUGGUUUCUGUUUUUUCUUCCUUGAACUACUUGGGUUCAAGAAGAAAUUUGGGUGAUGGGGCGAGAAAUGAUGGGGAAAAACAUAUAAAUUUCAAUCCUGGGUUGCCCCUUGAAAAUGGUUAUUUCAAUUUUCGGCUUGAAUAAGAAUUGAGAUGGGACUUGAGUUCCUUUUCUUGGUUUAAAUAACUUAUCUGUCAAUUUUGCUGGCUACUAUUUAAGGUCUGAGGAGCUAUAUGUUAUCUCUGUUAAUUUUUACUGUUAAUCAAUAACAGAUUUUUGAAUAGGAUUCAAAUUUUUAGUUUGUCAGACUUGGCAUUGUUGACUCUAUUCCUUCUUAUUAUCUGUUUGUUUGGUUGUAUAAUUGGAUAGAAUGGAUUCUGUUUGCAGGAUGAGAUGGGGUAUAACUGGUUCUGUAGACUGCCUUUCAAGUUUUCUGAACUUGUUAUGUAUGUGUGUCUUCUUGUUUCUUGAUUGUACUUUCUUCUUGAUGAUUGUAGAGAAUUGGCUGCGGAUUCUAUUUACAAAGAGAGAUGUAUAGCUGUCGACAAUGGUUCAAGUUGGGCAAAGUACAUGUCAAUCUCUGGUUCCCCUGAUGAUGAAUAUGAAAUUAUCACUUUGCAAUACACAGAUGAGGGUUUGCUGACUGUAGAUGAGAAUAGAGAUGGCCAUGCUGCUGCUUUUGGAGAUGACAUUGCAAUAGAGUGUCUUGCGACGGAGUUCAAAAGAGAGAUCUUUGUGGUAAGAGGUUUUUGUCCUUUUAUGCGUUUCAACCUUCCCCUAUCUGUGUAUUUCUAUUCUAUGUCAUCGUUGCACAACUCCUGACUUUGCUGAACAUUCAGGCCUUGUUCUGAUGAACUGCUGAUCCGCUGAGAUCCAGUGUAGUGUGUGUUUCCUUGGGACAGAAAUACAUUUUGACGCCAAGAUUAGAUGAAAUUUAAUCAUGUCCUAAUGUUACUUGUAAAAAUUAUAGAACCUACAACCAGAUAUACUUAUAUUUGACCUGAUGUAUUGUAGCUGUGAUCUAUCUUGUUCUCAAAGUCUCCGUUAUCUAUGCCUCUGUUUUUAUCUCCUUCUAUUUCCUCUAGCUCCAGAUUUUUCUUUGUGAUUUGGUGGUUGGGAAAUAAGGGUUCAAAUGAGAUGAAGAAUUUAUGGUGCACCUAUGAGACAAUGUUAGUUGGGGAGUUAGAAUGAAAGUAGAUUACAGCUCUGUGUUCUUUACAGACCAGGUCUGUGUUAAGGGAUAAUUUUCUUUACAUACCAGCUCUGUGUUCUUUUGCAUCAUAUUUAUUUGUUCUGUGUUCUUUUUCUUGAAUUUGCUUUAAUACAGUUUCCUUCUUAUCCUCUUCUUGGUUUUCAUAUUCCUAACUUUAUUUGCGCUGUAUAAAGUGCAUUGAAGUCUGUAAUAGAUAACAAUUUGCCGAAUUCUACAAUGUUGUCAUUAAAGUUCUCAAUUUUUGAAUUGCAUCCUAAGUUCAGAAUCCAUCAGUGCAGUUGAAUUGUGAGAGAUGUUGCUUAUUUACUGAUCAAUCAUAUACAGGUGCAAGCACAUGGAUCAGAUGCAAUGGUUGAUGAAGAUAAUUGUGUUUUCUUCUUACCACAUCGGCCAAGGAGUGAAAUCUGUGAACCCCCUUUUUUUCUUUUCAUGAAGGGAACAGGUAAUUAUAACUAAAAAUAGGUGUUUAUGUCAUCGCACCUUCUUUUUUAGUGCCCUUUUCAAGGUUGAAAAAUGACAUAAAACUCUACACGUAGCCUGAUGGAGCAUGAUCUUCAAUGGAUUCAUGUGCUCUCUUUUACUCUUUUAACAGUCUGGAGUACAGUUAUAAAUGAUUACAAUCUUGCUCUUACAGGUUGGUGCGGCGCUGGUGGUGACCAUUAUGAGCCUCUUAUUGCUCAUCCUUCCUCAUUUGUCUCCCAGGAGAAGGUUGCCAUGGUUCUUUAGAUGAUUAGCUUUCGCAAGUUUUUGUCUUUGAGAUGACGAGUAGAAUUUAGUUAUUGAUGAAGUGUCUUCCCUGCGCUUUGCCUGAAAUAUUCUUCCGGCUUCUUUACUAGACAGAUAGGGAUGCAAGUCCACUGCGCGGCUUCAAUUGUUUGUCUACAGUUUCUAGAGUUGAAGAAUGACUGUUUAGGGGCGUCCAAAAUUUUGUAACAAUUAGAGUCGGUACAUCUUUGACGCUGACUAGCAGAUGCUGCAUCUGCAUUUGAGGAUCUUGUAGUUUGGUAAUUCUUUUCGGGCCCAUUAUUGUUGUUGUCAAUUGUUUUGGAGAGCAUAGAGGGUGGGUGGUGGUGGUAUUGGUUGGUGCUAUGCGCUUGAAGUGGAAUAGUACCUUUUUGUUGUAUUUCGUACUGAGUUUUAUAUAGCUUGAGAUGGAAAUGAAUUUUAGUUUCACUUCCUCUGCAUUUUUAUAGUGAGCGGGAAAAGAAUUUUCGUACUCAUUUAGCCACUGUCUGGGUGGUUGAUCUUUCUAUGUUUCAACUGACUUGGCUGAAACUUCAACUCGCAUGUGAUGGAAGCAUACUUUUCUGUAGAGGUUUUAAAGGAUAAAUAAAUGGUCUACAUGCGUACCAGAAGCGUCAGAAAUGCAAAACCCAGGCAUCGAGUUAUAUGUCAUAAUAGGUUUGUUGUCUUUUGACUCCUUUCAGUGUUUUUAACUUUCUAACUGAGCCUUAAGUAGGCUUGAGCGGUUUUGGAACCAAAGUCGUUUUCGUACAGGGUUUGAAAGGAAAAUGCUCAAAGUCGAGAAACAGAAAAAACAUUAAAAUAUCUAUUUUACUCUAUUAUAUAUAAAGGGAGAUGGAUGGGUUGGCGUAAAUUUUUUUUGUAUCACUUUAUGUUUUUCUUAAACUAUCUUUUGAUGACUACCCGUUUCUAAGUUCUAACUUUCAAUAUAUCCUUUUUCAAUUAAUAUGUGUCUUUUAUUAUUUUGUUUUCCAACUUAUUUAGUAAACCUUAAUUUUAUUAAAAUUAGAAACUAUCAAUCAUGGUUAUGAAUUACUAUUAAAUAAUUACUUAUUUAUAUAUUUUAUUUUAGUGGAUUUUCUACAUAUGUACUAUUAUGAUAUAAAACUAAUUCUCUAGAAAAUGAUUUUUAAGUAUGGUGAAAAAAUUUGACACAAAUUUUGUUUAUUAGUUGCACACACAUUUGUAUUUGUAUUCGUGUGUGCCUUGAACACUAGGGAUCUGUUUGAUAGCAUCAAAAAGUGCUGAAUCUGAACUUUUUCAGACAUUCAGAUGUUUUGAGUGUUUGAUAAAUGAAAAUCCAUUUGCUGAACUUGUCAAGUAGUGUUGAACUUGUGUGUAUUUUUUUCAGGGAAAAAUGCACUUUACAUCCUCAAAGGUUGGGUUGAUGACCAAUUUCGUCCUCAAAGUUUCACCAAUAAUACAUUUCAUCCUCAAAGUUCUUGAAUUUUGGCCAAUUAGGGACAAUUGACAGAAUAACACUCAAUUUGGACGGAAAGCUGCACGUGAGAAACAUACUCUGUUAGAACCAACAAAAAAGGGAUAAAAGCUGUUCAGAAGUGCAGACACUAAUAUUAUAACUUUUGAAUUCUAUAUUCUGUACCUUUGUUUUAUUUUGUUCAUGGUCCAUAUUCAAUAGGAACCAUGUCAAUGACCACUUGGAAUGCACUUUUGACAAGCCUAUGCCUCUUUUUUUUGAUGGUUUUAAUUGGUUAUAUUAAUUUGGAUACAAUAUCCAGUUUGGUUGCUACUUCGGAUUGUUAAAAUUUUAGACAAAACUCUACCAAAACUUUCCUUCUUAUCUUAUUGACAUGUAAAUCAGCAUCAAGAUAAAAAUAGCUGGUGGUUUUUUUUAUAUAAUGCCUAUUUUAGGUUGGAAUUGAAAAUCAUACACAUAAAUAACUGGUAGUUUUUUUUGAAAUAAUGGACGAAAGCAACAAACGGCUGAUAGUCUAUGGGAAAUAAAAGAAACCCACAAAGAAUCCCAUGCAUUUUUUUUUUACGAAACGAUAGGAGUUUUUAUUUAUAGUUAUCAAAGUAUAUACAAGUUGGACUCAGUCCCCUAAUACAAUAGUAGUGCAAAAUUGAACUAAGGAGAUAAAAAAAGAAGUAAUAAAGAGGUGAUAAAUUUUGGACAAGAUAAAUGAAAGGGAUAAUUUCAGAAACCUCAGGGGAGGUUUCUGACAAUUUCACUCACCUCCCUUAGUUUUGAAUAAUUGCACUAACUUCCAUUUAUGCAAUAAAAUGACUAUAAUAUCCUUCACUUAUAGAUAAUUUCUAAAAAAGCCUACAACUAAAACUAAUAUUUCAUUUUAAAACAACAGCUACCACACAAAACAAACUCUUAUUCUCUCUCUCGAUCCUCUUGCUUACCUUUUCUCUCAUGUAUUUCAUAGUCCACUUUUUUCCAUAGUCGCCAUCUACACAAUUAUCUAAUACAUUCCAAAUCCUCAUUAUUAUGGAAAUAGAUCCUCUCUUUUUUUUUUCCUUUUUUGUAAGUAUUAUUGAAUUGAAAUUGCUAAACGACAAGUUGUCAAAGCAUAUUUGUUGUCAAACUAAAUGAAGAUAAAAAAAAAUGGCGAUGAUACAGAGUAUAAACAAGAAAAUAAUAAUGAUGGCUAAAAACGAAACAUAGAUUGAGGAAGAUUACACUAUUAUACCAAAUGUGCAAGGAAAAAAAAAUUUGGGAUAUAAGAACUAUAAUCAAAUUUGCCUAAAGACAUAGAAUGUGAUCUCUAAUGUUGCUUUUGGUUGCUCCAUGUUGGUAUUCUUGAUAGGUUAGAUUAUUUUAGCGUCAACAAGUUUGCAUUCAUUUUGAUUGAAUUUGAAUAUUGACAUUGGUCAAUUUAGAGGCAAAAUUUAGGCAAAAAAAAAAAAUUGAGGUAAAGAUUAGGUUGAAUGCAAAUGUUAAUUGUCAUGAUUGAUUUGCACAAGAAGGUUUAGGGCUGCAAAGUUGGGCUUUCGAAAUUAUGAGAAUACGAGGAUUAAGUUAAAGUGGCUUAUUGACUUCGUUAGGGUAGUAGUUAUGCCGAUUGUAAUAGUUGCAAUGUGGAAGAAAUUCAUAAGCGAGUUUUCCCCCCUUCUAACUAACAAAGGGGUAUUUUAGGAUUUUUAGGACAAAUUUAACAUAGUGGAUUUAUAUUGUUACUGAAAUGCUAAUAGUAGAGAAGGUAGGUGUAAUCUUUUAAAUUAGAAGGGACCUACCUGCAAUAGUCAAAAACCUCCCCUGAGGUUUCUGAAAUCAUCCCUAAAAUAAAGUUAUAAAUAGCUGGUAGUUUCUGUAUAAGAUAAAGAAACAACAACCAAUCAGCUUUUUAUAGCUUUCAUCUAUUUUUGCAAAUAGGGUUUCCUCUAUUAUAUAUCUUUUUGAUAGGUAAAAAAUAAAAAAUAAAAUAAAUUAAAAAGGAUGGACUAAUUUAAUGCGUUUGGAUAGAUACUCAAAUCUAAGUCAUUUAUAAUGCAUGAAUAAGUGGAUGUCGACCAUUUAUGUCAACCUUCUUGCCAGCAAAUGACUGGAUUUAGAAUAGUAAGAGUGGUUAGAACUUUUUUUAGAACUACAACAAAUAGAAUAGCAGAGAGGACAUAAAUGAAGCAAGAACAGGUUUUACCCAUUUUUUAUUGGGUACAAAGUCGGUUCUAAUAGGCCAUGUUUCUUACGUACAGCUUUCCGUCCAAAUUGAGUGUUAUUCUGUCAAUUGUCUCUAAUUGGCCAAAAUUCAGGAACUUUGAGAAUGAAAUGUAUUCUUGGUGAAACUUUGAGGACGAAAUUGGUCAUUCAUGCAACCUUUGAGGAUGAAAAGUGCAUUUUUUCCAUUUUUUUCAGCACAAGAAUCCUAACUGAAUGCUUAAUUUUGAUAAGAAUCAAUAGAAUUACUUCAACUACCUUAUCUUAUCUACCAAAUAUACCCUUGUUUAUUAAUUAUGUUCAACAUUCUUAUAUAAUUAAACAACCUAAUAUUCUCUAUCUAAUGAUUUUCUAUUUCUCAUUUCUCCCUUUUGAAUGACUUUCACUUUUUCUCCAUACUCCUCAUAUAAUAUAAUUCAUCUUUUAUAUUAAUUUGAUUUAAAAAUAAAUAUUGUCAUUUUCAUACCUAACAUUUUUAGCUAAUUAAAUCACAGGUUCUAUUUCUUUUUUGGAUGAAAAGAUAUAAGGGCAAAAUUGUCAAAUUUAACUUAUUAAGCAUUCAAUUAUAAAUGUUUAUCAAACAGUAUAAAUAGGUUUAGCAUUAAAAUUCAGACAUUCAUAUAUUUCUUUUCAGUGCUUAAAAUUCAACAAAUUAAUUGUUUCAGUAUUCAAAUUUCAGAAUUUAGACUUUAGAAUUCAGAUUCAGUUUUUUGUCAAACGAAACCUAGGUUCGGAACGUGCGUUUGUUGUCCGCGUCACUAACAACACAGCCAACAGGACGACACGUUUGCCAACUCGGAUAUGGGAAUUCGACUUCCGGGCUUCGAAUAUGCUUUAUAACGACAAUGGGCUUGGUUCGGUAAAAGAAUCACAACCACAUGAACUAGAGUGGAGGGCGCAUGAGGUUCAGGCGUUGCAUUUCACGCUUUUGAUUCUCUUAUUUAGGGGAUCUCAAGGCGUGUGAUGCAGGGAAAAAAAAAUCACGCAUUUAGGGUAGGUAGUAGCAGAAAGUUGAAUCACGAAAAGCAGCCUCGCAAACUCACGAAUAUGGUCUUAUAACUUCGCUUCUAUAAAUGAUUGAAAUGCUUUCCAUUUUCUGUUUCUUUUUAGCCUCUAUUCACUCCCUCUCUCUCCCCUUUUCCCUUCCUUUUUCCUUUGUAUUUUCAUUUUUCAACCCGCUAUCUCUGCAGGCGCUAGUGGAGCAUAAAAUGAAAUAUAUGCUUUUCAAACAACCUUUCCGUCAAGAAAUUAAUAAUAUUAUUACUAUAUCCUUGACUAAAGGCACCAAAUAUAACUUUUUUUGUUUUUGAUUUUUGAGACAAAGGUAGAUUUAGCUAGCUGAAGGAGGAGGAAAUAUCGCAGCAACCGGAGAAUCCAUACCGCCAAGACAAAAGUUAAAAUCAAACCCAAAAAAAAAAAAAAAAAAGUUCACAACACUUGUGCUCGCAAAAGUAUACUAGCUACGUACUAGAAAAGAAAUUGUAGUAUUGAAUCUCCUGCCCGCACGACCAUCCAGGCCAGCAUGGCCCCAUCACUCCCAUCUGCCAUCUCCGUGGGUGCAACCAUUGCUUAAAUACCCAAAAUUUCAACAUUCCGUGCCCGACCCUUUUUCUAGUUACUUCUUGAUUCACAGCCUAAGAGGGAUUGACUAUGUCAUUUCUAGCCUCACAGCAUCUCUCUACAUCCUCAAUGACCAUGGAAUCAUUUACGUUAAAAAAAAAAAAAAAGAAUUUCCCAUUUAAAGAUAAGUAAUAGUACAUGUAAUAGGUGAGCGCGUGCUGAGACUCCGGUGUAUAUCGUAUGUACUAAUUGGUAUUUUCAAAAGGGAUAAUUUCACAAACCUCCCCUAAGGUUUCUGACAAUUGCACUGACUCUCCCUUAAGUUUUAAAAAUUUCACUGACCACCCUUGCUUUUGAGAUUUUGGUAAUAAUUCAGUCCCAAUAGGAUUAAAAUAUUAUUUUCAUGAGUGAUAUGAGAUUUUUAUUCCAUGAAUGUCCUCUUGGUCCCGUAUUAGUAGAAGAUUGCAAGUUAUUAAAAAGUUGAAAUGAUUAGUAAAGUUGAGGGGGUGUAAAUGCAAUUCAAGAACUUUCAAGCACCACAUGGAAACACAAGCAAUGUUUUAACAACCAUAGCAACAGCUACCUGCAAGUUCCAAUAGCUAGAUUUUUGAUUCAGCACCAAGUGUAUAUAAAUAUCACAACUGCAUCCACACCCUCGAGAUUAUUAUUGUGAGCAACAAGAGUUUGGGUGCAUAUAAAGUUAUUGUUUUGUGCUGCAUUUAGGGUUCAUAGCGAAAACAUUUAGUAGAAAUUAUGGCCUCUUCAAGCCAUAUGGGAGAAUUAUGGAAUUCACCAACAUCUUUCAACAAAAAAAAUACAACUUUUACUUAACAUAAGAUUCAGAAUAACACAAAAAAAUUUCCUUCAACUCUUAAUAAUUUUCUAUUAUCCCUUCCUCACUGUAUAAAUUUACACAUAACAACAUGAUGCAUGAAAUACAAGAAUUUAGUUUUAUUACCAACUCAAAAAUCUAUUGAUCAAGCAAGACAGUUCUAUUUCUUCCCUUCUAGUUAUAUGACUACAAUAUCAGAAACUUGUUCAAUCAUCCUUGUCAAAUCAUACUAGUCACAAAAAUGGUCUCAAAUUUCUUCCUCAAUUGGUGCCUUUUUGUAAUGGAGUUUUAAUCAACUUAAUUAGACAUCAAAAUUCUAUUAUUCUAGUUAAAUGUAAUUAACUAGUUUAGAUGCAUUUGUUUCCCAAAUUUACGUUAGCUUUUAGUCCCAACUUCACAGGACAAAGUGGUAAUUUCAACUAUCAUGAUGUAAGCUAAGGAUUCCAAAUCUCUGUCAGGGGAGGUAAGUGAGAUUUUUAAAAUCUCGAGGUGUGUCAGUGCAAAUGUCAAAUGUCAGAAAGUUUAGGGGAGGUUUGUCGAAUUAUCCCUUUUCACAACGAUAUGUUAGUCUUUGAUGGUAGCAAGGCGGUUGCUUAAUAGUGAGGUGAACCAUGUAUACGCACGUGAGACUAUAAUAAUGUGAUUUUUUCUUUUUUGGACGGACGAAAGUUACUUUAUGGCUUUGGAAGAUGACGUUUUAAUAUCCAAAACGUACCGGGCGGUGGAUACACCACUUCCUUUGGCUCCUUCAGUAUUAGCCGUUCUUUCUCCUUACAUUCCUUGAUGCAAACGUGCUAAUAAUUUGCUCUACAAUUAUGGGAUCAGGGCUCACAAGUUGAGUCACUGCCUCGUGUGAUUCUCACAACCUUCAAUAUAAAAUCAUAUAGUAUGAGUAUAAAUUCGAAUUUAUCAACUUAUACAACUAAAUUGAUUACAUUAAAAUUGCACAAAUUUAUAUCCAAUGUUAUAAGAAUUACACGAACUGAACAGAAAUCAAUUCAGCGAGUUGUUAGAACUUUGAUCCUCAAUUACGAGGCAUAAAAGUGCACCUAACAUUGACAGUAGUACAAGCAUUUGUAUAAGAGAAAGCAUAGUUUGUGGGCACAUAUGAUGCCAGCCAGACAGCGACGGCUUCUCUUCCAACCAAACAUUAACAAAUUAUAACGUUGAGACGCCAUGGUGUUACUGAACCAAUCAAAUACUGUUGAAGUUGGGCGGCAAAAGAUGAAAUCCCCAUGAUGUUGACAAGUAUCUGUUGUUUAAUUGAUACUAACCUUGAGUGGACCAGCAGAUGCAUGCUAGCCCAGAGAGAUGGCCAAGAAUGAGCUGGUUAUUAGCCGAAACCACACAGGAACAUUAACGCCGGCUUUUCUAAUAAGGGUCACUAAUAACUAGAGCUGUUAAUCGAAUCGAGUAGCUCGUGAGCUGAGCUCGACCCGGCUCGAUAAGGGCUCAACUCGGCUCGUUUACUGAGAGAAACGAGCCGAGCUCUAGUUCAACUUUAGGCUCGUUUAAUAGACGAGCCGAGCUAUGCUCGACUCGUUUAAACUCGAUAGGCUCAAAUAGUAGGGUCAUUAGCAUCAUUUCAUUGUGUAUUUGAUACUUUUACCUAAUUCAUUCUUCCGUUUCUAGCCCUAAUUUUUUCUUUCCUCUUUCAGUCUUGCCCUAAUGUUCAUCUCCCAAACGAGCUCGAGCUCGAUAAACUCGGCUCAAUUUUGAACUCGAGUUCGAGAUCGAGCUCGAGUUUUCGAUCGAGUACACCGAGUCGAUCUUGAAUAGCUUGUGAAGCUCGAAUUACUAAUCGAGCGAGCUCGACUAGCUCGAUUAGAGGUUCAAAUCGAGCUCGAUUAUCAUGUGCUCAAGCACGAUUCGGCUCGAUUAAUAGCUCUACUAAUAACUAGCCCAGAAAUGCUAAGUGUACAAAUUUUUAAGAUUAAUCAAGUGCAGAGUUCACAAAAUGAACUUCAAUUCCUUGAGUGAGUCUUUCAGGCUUCCCCUCUUUUUCUCCCACUUACUCUCAUCAUCAUAUUGUGACGGUAAAAUUUACUUGACUAAAUUGAUCAUCAAAAUCGUUUCAUGCAUAUGAAGAUAGGUAUUUCUUAACCCAACGCGCCUCGGGCCAAGAUGACUACAAAGAAGCAAAUUCUUCGUAGGUUUGAAGAAGUUACUGAUUAUAGCAUAACUAACCAAUUUUCAUUUUUAUCACUUGGUUUAUUUACUUUGCUACGUAAAGGCUUUUGUUGUUGACUGAAGGGUAAUUAUAUAGUAUUAUCUUAUGCUGCAAGGAAAUGUUUCUUGGUUGCAAAUUCAAAAUCACGCUUUGAAUAAAACCGGAUUCCAUAGACCGAACAAUACACAAUUACACGUUGGCGAGCCCACUACUCUUUCUUUAUGGAAAAAAGGAAAAAAGUUACCAACUUUAAUUAAGCGACCACUAACCGAGCACGAUAUUUUUUUUGGGGGGGGGGCUGUUCUUUUGAUACGCAGAACCAUGCUUGGAAUUAUGUAGCAGAGAAUAAUAUAUAGCAAUGUGAUGAAUCAAAAUUGCAUCUUCCUUUAAUAUUGGGUCUCCACGCCAUUAUAAAAGCCAUGUUUUCCCUGGCACUAAGUUUCGUGAGAUAUUUGGGGGAAACCUCAGUUUCCUAGCUAGCUCCCCCUAGAAUUCUCUCCCACUGCUUUUACAUCUUCUACAACGUUCAUUCAAUCUCUUACAAACGAUUCUUAACUGGUCAGAAGAUGUACCAAUGGAUUCAAUCAAAGCACAGAAGCUUCAAGCCCUGAAAAACUACAAGAGAACUCAAUUUCUCUACAAUCUCAUGGUUUACUCUCUCACGGCUUUUCUUUCUACUUUGUUUUAUUUACACUUGUUUUGGUUCCCAUCCAUGAAGCACUUCUUCUCCAUCUUUCUCCCAAACAUCUGUUCGUUCUUUUUGAGCACCAAGUUCUUGUUCAUAGUGGGGAAUGUCAUAGUUCUCUUCCUAGUCGGACAAUCAAAGCUAGGAGGAGGAGGUUCACAGUAUUCAUCCCCAGCCGCAGAGAUUUACGAUGAGUAUGUACGGUUCCAGAGAAGUAGUCCAAGUCUUAGGGAGAGAUCAAUCAGGCUUCAUGAGUACAAGAAGAAGAAUAAGGAUGGGAAAGUGUGGGACGUGCGUACGAGUAUUAAUAGAAAGUGCAUGAGUCUGGAUGCAAUGAGUACUCAUGUAUAUCUUAAAGAGUAUGAGAAGGAAAAUGAAACACAAGUAGAAACAAAUAAUAGUGGCAAAGCUGUAGUUUUCGAGGUUGAUGCCGUGGAAGGAAAGCUAGGAAGAAGAGGAGAAGUAAAAGAAGAAGAGGAAGGAGACAAACAAGAACAAAAGCCUACUCAGGUUUUGGCAAAGGAUGAGUUAAAUCGACGAGUUGAGGAGUUCAUUGCAAGAGUUAAUAGACAAAGGAGGCUUGAAGAAAGACAAGUGCUGGAUCGCUGGUGAAUACUACUCAUUAUGGUUUUGAGGACGAGAAUAUGUACUUCACUAGGAAAACCUAAUUUUAUAUAGGUGCCAAGAGAUUAAUGUAUUGAUCACUUGCUUAAUAAAAACUAUCAAACAAGUUGAGACUAUUCCAAAUAAAUGUUUAAUUAGACGAGUUUCCAAGCAUGGGGUGACUAAUGUCAUGUUUAUGAUGAUUGAUCGUUAUGUAGCCGAGUUGCCUUGUAUAUAUGCAGGAUGGUCCUAUAAAUUAAGCAUGAUGAUGACAAAAAAAAAUGACAAAGCCCCCAUAUAUGUAGUUAGUUUAACCACACGGCAAACUCAUUCCUUAUAAUCAAGACACUUCUAUUUUUAUUUUUAAUGUUUUAUGUUUCGCUUUUUCUAGUAGAAUGGAGUCAUGCGGUGAAUAUUUCAGUAGUUACUUGCACGUAAUUAUAAUAAUUUGUAUGCCACAAUUGAACCGACAAAAUGUGAAAAUCAGUUGAUUAAGGGAAGGCCAUGGAUCCUGUUUCGAGCCGAUCUUUCUUUCAUUUCUAAAAUUUCGUCUUCGACCAAGUGUAAAGGUAUUUCGUUCUUCCAUGAACCAAAAGAAGAUGAGGAAAAAGUGGCCGAAGAUGUUGGAGCUUGGACUACUUGUUCCUGGCAUGAAAAGUCGUGACAUUCACUCAACAGUAAUAUAUAGCCCUUCUCGACCAUUAUUAUUAGAAUUAAUCUUCUGUACGGUGACAGUGUAUACACUUUCAUCAUUUGAUGCAUGAUACAUAAUUCGAAUUUGAAACUUAAAUUUUACAUGUGUGUCAUUAUCCAACCGUGAUAGUGUAUAUAUCGUCAGUCAGUGUAUAUAAGAUUUGCUUUUAUUUUUAUUAUUAUUACUACUUAGCAUUAUUUUUCUUCGAAAGCCCAUCUUGACCAUUAGCAGGAAAAGUAUAAUCAACCAGAGAGAAGGGGCCAAAAAAAAAGGUCAGACAGAAUACUGAAUACGCAAUGAGAAAGUCAGGGAAGUACUAAGAGUUAAAAGCGAGCAAGUGGAGUGCUUUUGCUAGUGCUAGCUACCCAGAUUUUGUUGCCUGAUUAAAGCCUUAAAUGUCGAACAUGAUAAAUACUCCGACCAAAAAGGAAGGAGAAGAAGAGGAAGGAGAAAGCGUCUGUAACCAGACACUUCCACGUACAGUGCAUGCAAUCCAAUGGCUGCAAAACUUUCCUUAGCAGAGAAGACAAUUAUCAAUCCACUUCGUCAAAAAUAUGAAAUAAAAGUCCCCUACUUGACAAUUAGUUCUUUUUUUUUUUUCCCCAAGUGAUUAGUAAGUGUCCUCCUUUUUGUUUUCUUUCAUGUGUCCUAUUGAAGAAGCAAUAAUAUACCAACACCGACACCCCGUGAAUACAGAAGAGAGGUGAGGAGGGGAAGUUCAUUUUCUGGUAGAAGAAGAGCAGUAUUAGAGUUCGAAUACUGCCGGAAAUGAACUGGGCUCAACAGAGAUGGACUGGAUGUUCGUUAAGAUUACAGUCGGUGGCUAGGCUUGAAGCCCAACAUGAUUCUUCUUCCCUCCCAAUUUGCAGAAGCCCAGAGGGUCAUACGGAUACAGUAACAGUCUCAUAUGGACAGAAGGAAAGGGAAGUCAUUUUAUAUUUAUAUUUAAGAAAACCAGUUUCGAAUCCUUUAAACUUGCAAUUUUUUUUUUUUAAAAAAAGAAAAUUUUAUAGAAGGCGUAGUGAAGAGGUGAUUUUUGGUUGGUAACUAGACCGACCUGAAUCAGUCCUCUCUGAGAUGAAGUGAGGUGAACUCCUGUGUCCGAAGUGAACCUCCUUGUCCGAAGUGAGUGGCGGGGCUUCUCCCCUGGGAUCACUCCGACGAUCAAGUUAGUAAGGGAACGAGGGAAUGCUAAAGUAUAAGCAAAUGAACAGUGUAUGCUUACUUGUUGGGAGUGUGUCUGGGGUAUUUAUAGAGGGAGAGUAGAGGACAAAGCGGAGGGCUUAUGCUGGUGGGACCCACCCUCUGGUCAUUACGGCUCUGUCCCGUGUCAGGAGGUCUGACUCUGACACUGUAACUGCCUGGGCAUGAUGACGGGGAGUAUUGUGCAGGUGCCAUUAAGUGCCUCCAGUGCUUUUCAGAUAAAGCACUGGUCUUGGGUGAUGUCAGAUGGUUUGACAUCAUCAGCGUGCAGCUGAGGUGGGGGUGCCGAGGUCGGCUACACAGUAGGCUAGGGAAACGGCCGAGGCCGAGCUCAGGGAUGAUGCCCGGGACACGGAUGAGCUCUGAUGAGGGACGAGGUGAGUUCACCUCGGCCACUCGGGAUGGCCGAGGUGAGCAUCCUCGAUAAGCCCCUCAAGCCUCGGAUGCUCCGAGCAAGGGAGGUGCCGAGGCUUCCUAGUGCUGAAGUCAUGAAGAGUCGAGGUUCCGAAACUGCUCCGGAAGAUGCGGGGACUUGACACGUGGGCGAGUCAGUUGAUAGGACGUGGUCACUGGUAACCGUCGCAUCGUGAAGUAGUGGGACGUUUCGUGCAGUGGGUGUCAGCCGAAAGGACGGGGCAUUAAUGAAGAGAGAGAGACAGAAGGGCAGGUACUCAGUAUCUUGAAUUCGAAGAGUUGCCGCCUUUCCGUAUUCUGGCUGCCUCUUCGGGUUCCCCUUAGACUCCUAUAAAUAGGGGGUCUUUCUCACCGCAUGGCCCAUCAUUUUCUUCCUCUGCCUGGGACUUGCCAAAUUUACGUCUGUUGCCGAGAUAGAAAACACAAGGACAGGCUGCCAAGCCCCCGGCGGCUACACGCACUCCCACCAAGGUCGGCCAGAGCAGCUCGGCCACCGCGGCUACUGGGUCCACCUCGUCCGUGCCGGGGGGAGUGCCUCUCGGAGUCGUCACGGCACUCCCACCUCCUCAGGGCCGAGGCAAGCAGUUGAAGGCCCCGGUCAAUCCAGUCUCGGGGACCUCGCUAUGGAAUCGUUUCCAUAGCCCCCCAGUGUUUCCCGGGGAGGAGAAGACGCACUCCGGCAAUCAUUGGUGUCCGAACUGGAAGAUUUCGGUCAACGACAGGUGCCAAAAUCCUCGGGUCGCUCAAGAGCUAGUAAUGCACUCCACUCUGCCAAGGGAUUUGGAGUUCAUGAAGAAACUGAGCCCGGCCGAGCUGGUUCAAAGUCUGAUGGUGACCACGGCUUCCAACUCAGCUUUUGCGGCCGAGAUGGCUCACAGAUACUGUGCUCUAGUCGAGGAGCAGGACACCGGCAAGCUGCAGACUCAGAUCUCCAAGUUGGAGAAACAAUUGGCGGUGUCCGAAUCCGAGAAGUCGGAGCUUCAGAGGCAACUUCAAGAGGCUGAAGCUAAGGGUGAGAAGGCCGAGGCUACGAUGAAUAGUCUUAGAUCAGCCCUCGAGGAAGAGCAGAAGAGGGGGGACGAAGUGAAGAAGUCCCACGCACAAGCUCUCGAGGGUGCUGGAGCCUCGGCUGUGGACGCGUUUCGGAGGUCCGAUGCCUUCAUCAAGGACCUCGGCCAACUGCUUACGCCUAACUUCAUGUUUGGCUUCACAUCGGCCAUUGACGAGGCCGCAGCUCACCUCUCCUCCGAAGCCUUGGAGUCUUUGAAAAAUCAUGCCAGCUACAAUGAAGACUCCAAGGAGUUAUGUGAUCGGAUGGCCGAAGGCAUUCAGGCAGGAAGGAACUUGGCCGAAGUCCAGGUCGAGUUCAACAAGUGGCUGUCCGAACUCGACGACGUGUUCGAGGACGUGGAAGUAAAGGAAGCUGAGGGAGACGAAGCCGGGGGGGACGAAGUCGGAGGGGACAUCGGAAAAGAGCCUGGAGAUGAACAUCCCGGCGGAAAAGAGGCCGAAGAGGAGGCUGCCCAGGAGGGAGCCAAGACCGGGAAUGGAGCCGAGACGGGGGUCUAGGCUCAUAUGCUUCGAGGGGGUGGUCGAGGUGGAAAGUGCUUAGCAGCAUUCGGACCUCGGCCUUGUAUUUUUUUUGUAACGCUCUUUUCUGUUGAAUGAAAUCUAUUCCUUCUGUUCUCAGUAUUUCAAUUUCUUGUUUUGACUUCUUCCCUUGCUUGUCCCCCUUAUUUUUUAACUGCGUAAUAACCAUAUUGUUUUCAGGUCGUUAGCCGAGGUAGUAAAACGGGCAGAUACCACCUUGAUUUAUAAUGGGCCGAGGUGGCCCUGCGGGAGGUGCCGCUGAUUAAGGCCUAAGUGGCCCUGCGGGAGGUGCCGCUGAUUAAGGCCGAGGUGGCCCUUCGGGAGGUGCCACUGAGUAAGGUCGAGGUGGCCCUUCGGGAGGUGCCGCUGAGUAAGGCCUAAGUGGCCCUGCGGGAGGUGCCACUGAUUAAGGCCGAGAUGGCCCUUCGGGAGGUGCCACUGAGUAAGGCCGAGGUGGCCCUUCGGGAGGUGCCGCUGAGUAAGGCCUAAGUGGCCCUGCGGGAGGUGCCACUGAUUAAGGCCGAGGUGGCCCUUCGGGAGGUGCCGCUGAGUAAGGCCUAAGUGGCCCUGCGGGAGGUGCCACUGAUUAAGGCCGAGGUGCCCUGAGUAAGGCCGAGGUGGCCCUGCGGGAGGUGCCACUGAGUAAGGUCUAGGACUGUCCGGGCCAAAAUGACCAUCCUCCCUACCCGUGCCAAGACCUCGGCACUAAUGAGCCAUCUCGGUAACUCAGCUUACAAUACCCUUUAGGGUCAGAUUCCACAACUCGGUAAGGGCCUUCCCAUUUCGGGCAUAAUUUCCUCUGCGGCUCAGCUCGGCUGACUGAAUUUUUCCUCAGAACCAAGUCUCCAGGCUGGAAUUGAGCGGUGUCAGCUCAGCGUUCGAGGUGGACGAUCUUCCUUUCACUAUUCGAUCGAAAAUACUCCGGCGGUCCCGGAGUUGGGUUGAAGUGCCACUUGGGCCGGGUUCACCUCGGCCGGUGUCUCUCCUCCGGGGAUCUGGCCCCGUACGAGAUGCUUGGGCUUCUCGCUUCAUGCGGUUCACAUCCUCAUUUCGGAUUCCCUGGUCCACUCUAUCCCAGAGUUCCCGAAGUGUACGGGGGUACUCCCGAUGGAUUUCAGUGUUGAAGAUUCCCGCCACCAAUCCGUUGGUAAAGGCCGCGAUAGUUACCUGCUCGUUCUGGUCAGGUAUCUGCACAUUCUCCUCGUUGAACCUUUGAGUAUACGAGCGAAGGGACUCGCCCUGACCCUGUUGCAGGUUCAAGAGGUAAGCUGAAGUCUUGGUGAUUGGUCGAGAUGAUACAAAGCGGUGGAUGAACCGGUCUAUCAGCUCGUCCAGGGAGGAAAUGCUCCCUGGUUCCAGACUCCAGAACCACUUCCGGGCAGUCCCAUGUAGGAAGAUGGGGAAAGCUCGGCAGAUCACAGCGUCGGGGACGCAGUAGAGUCGGAAAGCGGAGAUGAAGGCGCGGAGGUGAUCCUCGGGGUCACCUCGGCCAUCGUAGGUGUGCAAGUUUGGGAGCUUGAAGUUCGGGGGAACCAUCUCCCCGUUGAUGUCAUCAGUAAAGGGCGGAGCCCUCAUGUACUCAGAAGCUAGGCCUCCGGGACGCCGAGGUGGGUCCUCGGCUCGUUUUCCCAGUAGUCCCCGAGAAAACGCUCGGGAGAUGGAGGCAAUCUUGGAGGUUGCCUUGGAUGAGGCUCGCCUGCUGGUGCUCCGAGAUAGACGCCCAUCUUCGGAGUCCUCGCUUGAGGGCACUUCAGGGGACUUCGUCGGUCUCCUCUUGGAAGACUCGGCUUUUUCUUUUCCCUGCCUCUUGAGGUACCUUCCUAGUUCCUCAAAGAUGUUGGGGUUGUCCGUGACAAACUCGGCCAUCUUGGCGAUGGCCUCCUUAUUGUUGGGCUGGGUCCUUUGGGACCCUGGUUCUUCAGAAAUGCGGUCUUGCUGGGCUUCCGAGGUCUGCCCAACCCCAGUUGAGGGAACUCUUCCGCUUCUAGAGCGCGUGGAUCUCAUUUUUGUAAUAGUCUCGUUCCCACAGACGGCGCCAAUUGAAGAGGUGAUUUUUGGUUGGUAACUAGACCGACCUGAAUCAGUCCUCUCUGAGAUGAAGUGAGGUGAACUCCUGUGUCCGAAGUGAACCUCCUUGUCCGAAGUGAGUGACGGGGCUUCUCCCCUGGGAUCACUCCGACGAUCAAGUUAGUAAGGGAACGAGGGAAUGCUAAAGUAUAAGCAAAUGAACAGUGUAUGCUUACUUGUUGGGAGUGUGUCUGGGGUAUUUAUAGAGGGAGAGUAGAGGACAAAGCGGAGGGCUUAUGCUGGUGGGACCCACCCUCUGGUCAUUACGGCUCUGUCCCGUGUCAGGAGGUCUGACUCUGACACUGUAACUGCCUGGGCAUGAUGACGGGGAGUAUUGUGCAGGUGCCAUUAAGUGCCUCCAGUGCUUUUCAGAUAAAGCACUGGUCCUGGGUGAUGUCAGAUGGUUUGACAUCAUCAGCGUGCAGCUGAGGUGGGGGUGCCGAGGUCGGCUACACAGUAGGCUAGGGAAACGGCCGAGGCCGAGCUCAGGGAUGAUGCCCGGGACACGGAUGAGCUCUGAUGAGGGACGAGGUGAGUUCACCUCGGCCACUCGGGAUGGCCGAGGUGAGCAUCCUCACGUAGUAACGCACUUCUUUCGUUCAUUUAGACCAAUCUUUCUUCUCCAGUCUUUAUAUGGUCCAAUUGAGCUCUUCCUACCUUUUAUAAAGUGCUAGAAUAGAAUUAAAAGGUAUGGUCGGUUUUUUUUUUAUAAUUUUGUGGGCAUACAAAUUCCCAAGCUCCGUCUACUGAGCAUAUAUUUAUUAUUAUUAUUUUUUUUAUCGAAACGACAAGUAAGCAUAUAAAAAUUUUAUAUGCGUCGUUUUCGUUGUUUUCUUCUGUUCUCUCAAAAAAAAAAAAAAAUACUAGUAGUAUAAUUUUAAGUCGUACAUCUGCGUGCGUCACGAGGCAAAAUACUACAAAGUUGGGCUGUUUUAGUUUUGCAGCAAUUGCACCGAUGUGGCCUCCAUCCUUGACUUCCUACCCCCAGCAGCCAACAUAACAUAGUCGGUCAAAAAUAGACCUGUUAACUGCAUCUGCCCUUUUUCUCAUGUCCAAAUAAAACAAAUCCCAUCCCAGGCAGGGAAAAACCCACCAACCAACUUGAUGCAUGCUUGCUUCAAACUAAUUCAUCAUCAAAAAAUUAAAAUCAUACUCAAAACUCGUUUCAUUUCAGAGCCACCAUCCCAUGCCCGCUUCUUCCCGGGGCCCCAACAAACAUCCCCCAAAGGAAAAAAUACACACACACACACACACACAAGAAAAUUAGAAAUAUACAACAGGGAGGGUCAAAGCAAGCAAAAACGAGGGGCUGACUGAGAACUGAAGCAGGGCAAAGCAGCCUUUCGGAGAUAUCAAGAGACUAAGCCCUCGACAUUUCCGAAGUUCUACUAACCCAUCUCCCCUUCCUUACUUUCCUUCUCUGUUAUUCUAUAAUCCUAAUUUUAGUAGUGGCCUUUCUCACUUCUUCAACUCUGUAAACCCCAUCUUUUUUCUUUAUCGUUUCUUCCACUUUCUUAAUACUUUGCUAGAUUUAUUCCAUUUAUUCAUAGUUAGAAAGAUACCUUCCUCUUCCUUCGAAAUAUUUCUGUGGUGAUAUAGAGUUGGAAAGAUGGCGACGCUGUCUUCAUCACCACAUUGUUCAUCAUCCCCUUAUUAUUCCAAUUCAUCGUCAAUUGUUUUUCAUCAUCAGAAAGUGGUGACUCUUUCUUCCAUUCGUCCCCAGAGCUUUGGUCCAGGAAGAUUUUCUUUACAAUCAAAGACAAAACCGAAUUCCAUUGUGGUCUGCAUGCAGGAUGGUCAGCUCCCUUUUCCCCUUUUCUAAAUUUGUACAUCCGUCUAUUCGGGUUUGUUUUCGCUCUUGCCUACGUAUUUUGUGUUAUUUUAGCCGACAUCUUUGCUAAUACGUUUAUUCAAUUGUUCGUUCAUCAAUGAAUUGAUCCACAAAAGCAAAACAAGUCUUUUUUCUUUUCCCCUUUUUCUUUUGAUUUUGAUGAUAUGCUAGCUACUAUAACAUUGGCUGAUAUAUUAGCAAAAGAUUGGAACUUUUUGUCAUUUGUUGUAGAUGUUCCGGUAUGAAAUUGCUUUUCUGGAUUUUGGGUUUCCUUUGUUCUGAUUUCUCGUGUGAAUGGUAAUCUAAUACAGGUGCCGCAGCAGCAACUAUUAGCCCCAUUGAAAAUGAAACUCCUCUAAAGAAGUUGACGGAUGGGUUGUUAAAUGUAGCCUCCCCGGAGGACCGCAAAGAGGCAGCUGCUUUUGAUAUCAAUAGAGAUAAAUCCACCGUCAGCGUCACCGUAGUUGGUGCCUCAGGAGACCUUGCCAAGAAGAAGAUAUUUCCUGCACUUUUUGCACUUUACUAUGAGGGUUGCCUCCCUGAGGUCUUCAUCUUAUUUAUCCUGUUUCCACUUAGUUUGACUUGCAAAAAUCGUGUUGGCCCAAUUUCCACAUGCUUUUAUUCCGCUGAAUAAGUAAAUAUUUAUUUCUUUUCAUUGCAGCAUUUCACUGUUUUUGGUUAUGCUCGGAGUAAGAUGACGGAUGCUGAACUUAGAACCAUGGUUAGCAAAACUCUUACUUGCAGGAUAGAUAAGAGGUGGUCUUUGCUUUGUUCUCCUUGGUUUUAUGUGCUUAAUGUUACCUGUCGAUGCUAUUGUUACUCCUGCCACAAAGCAUGUUGUUGCCAGGUGCCAUUUGUGGUAGUUUUGAACUUGUGCUUAUGCGGUUGACUAAAACUUUCUUGCAUAACUUUCUCCUUUGUAGAGAAAACUGUGGUGAAAAGAUGGAAGAGUUCCUAAACAGGUGUUUUUACCACUGUGGUCAGUAUGACUCCCAGGAACAUUUUGGAGAACUUGAUAAGAAACUCAAGGAACAGGAGGUAAUUAACGUUUGCAGACUUCAGCUGUUUAGCAUCUGUUAAUUUUUGCUUGCCUCAUGUUUGUACUAAAAAGCUAUUCUAAGGCAGGACCAAACUUUCUAGGUAUUGUGACAUAUUGAAGUCAGAGCCUUUUCUGAUUUUAUCAUGUGACGUGGAGUGUGUUUUUGUUAACUUGAUGCAGUCAUGCAUACAAUUUUACGAUUACGAGGUUCAUUUGAUUCGAAUAUGAGACAAUCUUAGAAUUACAGCAUCUCCACUUUUGCUUGUUUAUACGGUGAAUUGUUUUGUGCGCUUGUCAAUCGCCUGUGAUGGCAUCCUAAGAGUAAAAGUUUGAUGGAAGGUUCGUUCUUGGUGCAUAUAUUGGUAAGAAAAUUUGACAAGUAGAAUACUUUGGAGUUCUCUGUUGCAUUCUUAUUAAAAUUGGGAAUCCUAAUUUUAUGACUACAGUUGCCACUUAAGUUGUUUAGCUGAUAAGUAUAAUUAGCCAAGUAAUGAGCGUCCCUUUUUUAAACUUGUUAUGGAGAUUAGAGAUGAGAUUUAUUGCUUCUGAUUUUGGGCUGUCAAUAAAGUUCGGCUAGGUCAAAGUGAAAUAUGUGUUUCAUUUAAAGAGUGAUAUUCACCUGUUCGAUUGUGCUUUCAAAAUUGUUUUUGGUCACUUGAUUUUUCUAGUAGGAUCUCACCGAAUUCCAGCCUUGUGAUUCGCAUUGUUUUUGAAGCUUGAAUGUUUGAGAAUUGCUUGUGCAGUAUCAUAGCAUAUCCCUCUAUCUUCCUCACAUUUUUGAUGAUAACUAUUUUCUUGUAGGCUGGCAGAGUUUCUAAUCGACUUUUCUACUUGUCAAUUCCACCAAAUAUUUUUAUAGAUGCUGUAAAAUGUGCGAGCCUCUCUGCAUCUGCUGCAAAUGGCUGGACUAGGGUCAUUGUUGAGAAACCCUUUGGUCGUGAUUCUGAAUCUUCUGCUGCUUUGACAAAAGCUCUUAAGCAGUAUUUAGAGGAGGACCAGAUUUUUAGGUGCUUCUCUUUGUACUGGAUUUGGUUGUCAUCUUUAAAUGAACAGCCAGUGACAGUUUUUGAGUUGCUUAUCUGAACUUGAUUUUGUUCAAAUGCCUUACUUUUUGGUAAUUCCCCUUCAACAGGAUAGAUCACUAUCUAGGAAAAGAGCUUGUAGAGAAUCUUUCUGUCCUCCGCUUUUCCAACCUCAUCUUUGAACCCUUGUGGUCAAGACAGUACAUAAGGAAUGUACAGUUGAUCUUCUCUGAAGAUUUUGGGACUGAAGGACGUGGAGGGUAAAUCUCUUCCCAAUAGUUGAUUUAAUCACCCCACAUUAAGUUAAAGACUAAGUUUUCUUGAUGUGUUGUGGCACCAGUUACUUUGACAGUUAUGGAAUUAUCAGAGAUAUAAUGCAAAAUCAUUUGCUUCAAAUACUGGCCCUCUUUGCAAUGGAAACACCUGUCAGUUUGGAUGCAGAAGAUAUUAGAAAUGAGAAGGUAGUACUUUACCCAGGCUAUCCUAUUAUCUUUCUGGUUGCCUAUUUUUUCCUACCUGUUUGUUCUAAUUUCUUAUGCAAUGCCAGGUCAAAGUCUUGCGUUCCAUGAGGCCUUUAAAGCUUGAUGAUGUGGUCAUAGGACAGUACAAGAGUCACACAAAAGGAGUUGUUUCAUACCCAGCAUAUACUGAUGACAAGACUGUAUCCAAAGACAGCAGAACCCCAACAUUUGCUGCAGCUGCUCUUUUCAUAGAUAACUCAAGAUGGGAUGGGGUGCCUUUUCUGAUGAAAGCUGGGAAAGCUCUUCAUAAUCGGAGGUUGGUUUUAUCUACAGCUCACACUAAGACAAUAUUGGUUCUGUUCUCUAAAAUGCAUCUUUGGCUCCCACCCCCACCCCCCGUUUUUUGGGUUGCUUGUCAGGGCUGAGAUAAGAGUGCAGUUUAGGCAUGUGCCGGGUAACUUGUACAAUCGAACCUUUGGGACAGAUCUUGACCAGGCCACAAAUGAGCUUGUUAUUCGUGUUCAGCCAGAUGAAGCUAUCUAUCUGAAGAUUAAUAACAAGGUCCCUGGUUUGGGAAUGAGGCUGGACCGCAGUCAUCUUAAUCUUCUAUAUGCUGCAAGGUACUGUUGAUUAAUAUUUUGUUUAAGGUGCACUUAUUUUUAUACAGACUGAAGAUGAGGACUACUUUGCCAUGUGCUUGUCGCAUUAGUAUCUCCAUGUUGAAAAAAACAAAAGACGCUUUCACAUUUUGGGUCAAAUUUGAACUUUUUUCUGAAAAAUUUUGUUGCAAAAUAUCUGCAUGGAAGCUGAUUGUUGUUUACCACCCAAAUAAAAAGGAAACAUCAAUACCUAGUAGGAAUUAGCAUGAAUCGGAUGAAUAUAGUGGACAUCUAUGUUAUACAAUUAUUGGUAAACUUUAUGUGUUGUUGUGAUAUGGAGUCCUACAGACACUUAACUAACAUUGAUGAGAGAAGAAAAUGAAGACCUACAUGGGGAUUUUUUUUAUUUGAGAAGAUCAUUGAACCAAAGCAAAUCAAUUUAUUCUUGUCAGAACUUGUGCUUUAUCGAAUUGUUCCAUGGUUCUCGUGUGACUUUGAAAUGUGGGAUACUGGUAGCAUGGAACAAGGUUGAAUUCUGUCUGUUUAUAUGUGAUCUCAGAUGCCCGUAGGGACAUUAAUUACACCCGAACAAAAGAAAGUUAGGACUUGAGUUAUUUCUUUUUUUUUUCCCUUAAAUUUUUUCCAUCUCUUUUUAACAUCAAUUUUGCUAUUGCUUAGAUUUCCAGUAUUGUCAAGGAUUAAUGCUAUGCAGCACUCUAGUUCCUACCAUUUACCAACUGUAUCUAGAUAUAAGGUUGAUUCCUCUUGAGAAGCAUGUUGUAGACUUUUAUUUGAUACUAGUUGUUUAUGGGAUGGUUGUGUUCCUACUUCAGAAUAUGUCAGAUUCAGUUCUACCUUAGUCUGUUGGGCCUUGCAUUUCAAAGCACUGCCUUGCUUUGCUUUCACAUCCUGGUUAUAGUUGGGCUUUCAAAUUUUAUAUGUUUUCUGUCAUUAACAUCACGUGGAUGGGUACGUACGGAUACAAUAAUUUGACUUAUAAAAUGCGGGUCUCUAUGAUGAUUUGUAAAAAUUUCUGCAGGUAAGAUUUCUUUGAUUAAAUGCAACAGGUUUGAUGACUUUAUUUACCUAUCCUUCACCUGCUGAUGAGAUUUUAUUACAUGCAUAGCGAUAGACUAGUUAAAAGUUUAACUAGAAAAAGAACUAGUUUGGUUGUGAGUUCAGCGUUGCAAGGACAAAGGGGUAAUGAAUGAGAUGUCAGAUAAUGAAGCGACCAACAAUUUGUAGCUUGGCUAUCGCAAAAGCUGUACUCAUCUAGUGUAACUAGUAUACCCGGGUUGUGAAGAAUGUGAAUAAUUAGUGAUUGAUCAUACCAUUUUUCAGCUGAAAAUUUGUUCUUUCUGGCUUCUGUAGGUACUCGAAGGAGAUUCCUGAUGCAUACGAGAGACUUCUUCUGGAUGCUAUAGAAGGUGAAAGGCGGCUUUUCAUCCGAAGUGAUGAACUAGACGCUGCUUGGUCUCUAUUUACUCCUGUAUUAAAAGAAAUUGAGGAGAGGAAAAUCACUCCGGAAUACUAUCCCUAUGGAAGUCGAGGUCCUGUUGGAGCUCAUUACCUUGCAGCCAGAUACAAUGUACGUUGGGGUGAUCUUGGUCUUGAGCAAUAAAAGGAGAGCGUAUAUAUAUUAUAUUUCGAGUCAAGAAGCUACAUUUGCAGUGGUGGGAGAGGAGCCAGUUGCUGGCGAAGGAAUUCCACCAACAAUGGCUUGGAGCUGAUUCUUCUCCUCUCCGAAGCAGUCAGUCGAAAACUUGUUUUUAUCAGUUUUGUUUUUUUAAUUGAAUUGUAUGCCUGUCAAUUCAUCUACUAUAAAUUUUUUUUUUUUUUUGUAAGUUCAAGGGAGACUCUUUGAAGUCUUAGAUGAAGAAAAGACGCGGGCUUGAGCCCUGGUUGACUAGUUAAUAUCUCUCAACUUGGCGAAAUGGACUGUUCAGGCUGCGUCUUUUGCCCGAAUAACAUGGGCCUGUACCAGAGUGCGAAAUUCAAGUGGGGAGUGCAACAAUGAAUGGCUUUGGUCUGAUUUCAAAAAUGUUGGUUGUCGCAGAACCAGAAAUGAAAGAGAAUCAAUACCAUCUCUCAAUCUAAGAAAUCUUACGGAGCGUUGCAAGAAAGUAGGAAAAGUAAAAGUGAAAAAUCAGUUGAAUGGUUGGUCAUCAUAAAGGCGCUUAAGAUCUUUAUGAAAUGAGAGGUCAAGGCUUCAAAUUUUGUCUCUCCCACCAUCGAUCAUCAAUUGUUAUUUUAUGUGGCUUUUCUAAAUUCAGUCCGGGUAUGUCUGGUCUAGGGGGUUGGAUCGGAUCUGUGCUCUUUCCCGUGAUUUGAGUUAGAUUUGUUUCUCUCGUCUCACAUCGAAAGAUCGUGGGGUAGUUACUCUGGAUUUAAGGUCCACAGGUAUCCCGUUUAGUUAUCAAUUAGCUGAACAAGAUUGCUUUGUGGAUCCCUCUUAGAUUGUUCUUUGGACCGUUCUUGGGGCCAUAGAGAUUAUCAUGUUAGUAAAGAUGCCAUUUCCAAAAAAUGCGACUUUAACUCCCAAGUCACAGCAGCAGUAAGUAUGGCCACCAGUCAUGACCUCCAUAAGAGGGUUGAAUUGUUUUUGGGAUUUUUGUUACCUGGGUGGCUGCCGGGCAACUCAGCUUGAGAAAGAAGAUAAGCUUAUAUUGACGGGUCUAACAAAUGAUUAACAUAAAUAAAGGGAGAUGGGGGCGGGUUGCUCUGCUUUUACACAUUUUUUGGCUUGGCGUGGCGUGUUUUACCUACUAAUAAAAAGGAGAAGGGGGAGGAAGGUUUAUAGCUAGCUUGGUUGCGGUGUGUGGUAAAAAAAUGUAGUAUGAACGGGGGAGCGAAGACGGGUGAUGCGUCAACAACUGGCUUUUAAAAGCGUCCCCAUAUGUCUGCACGAUGCCUAACAAACUUUCACACACACACACACACACACACACACACACACACACACACACACACACAACCCAUCAUCCAUCAUCCAUCAGCCAUCAUCAUCAUCAUCAUCAUCAUGAUCAUGCACGACACGCCCCCCAACCAAUUAUUAUUAUUAGUAUCGAUUUCACUCUAUCUAACCAACUUAAUAGUAAUAAGUACAUUCUCCGGUCCUCAGUCCAUCAUCAAGGACUGUAGGACUAUUACAAGUUAGAAAUGUGAGAGUAAUAGUAGGAGGCGGUGGCAAUUUCAAAUUUCGGAAGCCAUUACCCGCAGGCCAACGUGAAUAGCGGAGGAAGCUGGGCAGAGUAAAGUCAAAUUCCGCACGACAAUGCAGAUUGGAGAGAGCCAACGGGGGUCUUGACUUUCCAUUAUGCUUCUGAACAAAACCUUGCACUAGUACACUACUGUUUUCAAAUGCACAAUAAUUACAUCACAUCACUGUACAAGUAAUUUUGUACACCAUCGGUAUUUAGCAUUUUUAGCUAACGGCAGUGAUUUGAAUAAAUAAAAAGAACCGUCAUUUUUUUUUUUACCCCCACCGUAUUCGAUUGGUGUCUUUUUCAUCCUUGUUUGGUUCAGUUAAGGAUAAUCUGAAAUGACUUUGCGGCCAAGACUUAUUAUGUCGAGUAAGGUCAAAGAAACAUAAACCCUUUGAUCACGCACACAUCUAAAAACGCAAAACUCAUCCCCUUUUUUCUAAUUUCUUUCAUUUCUCUAACAUUUUUUUUUUUUUUUGGGAGAGGGUACUUAGGCCAUGUCAAGCAAUAGGGAUGACAAUUGGAGCGACCAUCCAUGAAAAAUUAAUGAUUAAUUAUACUAAUACGUUCAUACUAAAUCACUAAUUAAACCUUUUUCCCUCUCGCGGGGCGGGAGCGAGGGGAAUGUUUGGACAACGAACCCCUUAUCCAUUGCCAUUCCUAUUAUGGCGGAAUUAGAGGGGGCGUGUUAGGGCUGCUGCUCAUUUCAAGAUAUGCUAUGAAAUCCUGUAAUUUACCUGUGAAAUAUUUAAGAUAUUCAUCCGUUGCGACAUUACAAUGAAUUAGAAUUUGCACGUUCGAAAUUUUGACUAAGUUGGUUUGUUUGGAUGGUGAAAUUAUUCCAAAUAAUAUUUCGCUUGCAUCAUAAACACAUUUUUCAAUCCACCUUUUUAUAUUUCUAACCAUCUUUUUAUCUCACAUACAUCACAUCACAAAAAGUGCUACAGUAUUUAUUCCAAAUAAUAUUUCAAAUAAUAUUCUAUCCAAACAAAGUAUCGAAAGAAAAACAGAUAGGGGCUUAGGUGAAUUCAAGUAAGAAAUUUUUUUUUUUUUUGUUUUGGGGGGGAGAGAGAGAGGAUGAUCUCCAUUGAUUUGUCUGAAAAUUGCAGGUCACGCUUCGCAGGAAUAGGGAAUUGAAACUUCGUCUCGGGCAAGUUUUCCUUGGAAUAUAAAAGCUUGCUUCGGCAGGAACAACCACCAAUGAUGCUUCUAAAAGAACACGAUAUGAGUAGUAAACCCUACCCUAUUAUAGUGCUUUUAACAGAAACAAGAAUGCUACUAGGCAGAGUGUUGAAUAUUGGUCACGCUUCCGGCAGAUAUUCCUACAAAAGAGUUAUCUGUAUAUGAUCACCCCCCGCUUUGACCUUCAUUAGAAAAUGCUUCCACCACUGAUUUCUUUAAUGGCAAGCUUCAUGUAAUCAAUUACUACUAUGUAGCACGGACAGGGAGAUAAUAUACAAAACUACAAAAAUUCUUUUUGAAAAAAACAGCUCUGUCAGUUGAUUGGCUGCGCCACUUGAUCACGAUUUGAAAGCCAGUUGAUGCUAGUACUCCUCCAUAAACUGGCAUAAAUUUAGGCCAUGACACAAGGGUCAAAUAUCAAAAGUAGUAUAGUAGUUAUCACUUUUCUAAGGCAUAGAAUCCCACAUGCCAUCCACUGGCCGUGGCAAUACUGCCAAAGUACGGACUUAUGAUUGAGCAUUGGGGAUGGUGGCCCGUAGUAAUUGGUCCUAUGAUUACCGCAAGGGCAAUGCACCCACCUUAGAUUGUUGGUGAGGUUGCCUUGCCAUUUCCGUGGAACACAAGGUUGCUACAGUACAGACAGGACAACAUGACUCUCUUAAUUUAAGUACCUAUACUGCUUACUAGUAUUUACUAACAGGCAAGAGUACUGCGUCGACUGUCUUCCAGUUUCCCCUAAUUACAUCGUUCAAGCUAGUGAUGCGAUCGUAAGUAACUAACCAACAAGCUUGGUAAGCAUGAGACUAGAACAAGAGGAAAUUAACCAAAAAAAAAUUUAAAGUCAAGUCUUUUCGCUUUUUAUACCUCACUGAAGACGACCAACGAACAAAAAAGAAUCUCUGGUAAUUUGUGCCCUGAUUAAAAAAUUUUGUAGCCGCGGUCAUGUUUUUUCCCGGAUAAUAGUAUGAGAGGAAAGGAAUGUUGGAGUAAAAACAGCUGUGACAUUCACAUGCACUUAAUUAAGUGAAAGUGCGAGGUAAUUUAUUAAAAGUGAAUUGGCAAUUUAUGGAUGUGUAUUAGUACAAGAUAGGAGCCAUCAAACAAAGCAGAUUGUGGUUACAGAAUAGAAUACAUGCAUCUAAUUCCUCACCUUUUUUAGUUCAGGAGAGAUAAGAGAGGAAGGGGAAAAGGAAAGGGUUUAAAAGUUAAACCAGAGGCCACACUGGGUAAAGAUUUGCCACCUUAUGCGUACAGUCAGUUGGGGGUGUUCAUAUUUUGGAAAAAAAAAAAAAAGGAAAAAUUGGCCGAUCCAAUCUAAAUCGGAUUUCAGUACAUCCGAAUUCGGAAAAACCAAAUAUAAUGUUUGGCAAAAUGGUUCGAGAAUGGAUAAUUAAAAAUACAUUAUCGAAUUACAAAUUAUUGAAAAUUUUAUAAUAUAAUUUUAUGUAUAUAUAUAUAUAUAUAUAUUACUAAAUAUAAGAGUAAAUCUUAAUUCUAAUACUAAUUACUAAUUUAAUUAUAACUAUAUUUGGAAGUCAAAUUUUGAUGGACGCUGACAUGUUUGAAUUAAACUUGACAAUUAAAUUUGGAAUUCCUUUUUAUUUCAAUGUUGUUUAAGAAUUGAGGUUAUGAGUUAGAACUUUCAGAUUAUGAACCUUUUUUUUUGCAUUUUUUUUGAGUUAAGUUGAUUGAAUUUUAUUGAAAAAACAUAUAGGAUAUUAUUUUGUUAUAAUAAUUUUUGAGAGAAAAUUAAAAUAUUUUAACUCACUAUUGACAUUUCAGAUUUUGGAUAUUACCAAAUUAUUGAUUCUUAAAUCCAAUUUACCAAACCAAAAAAUAUAUUGAGGGUGGUUAAUUGCUCCCCCUCUCCCCAACUUUUCAAAAAUAUUUUUUUUAAAAAAAAGAAGACUGAAAACUAUUAAAACUAUUAAUAAUAAAUCAUCAAGUCUAUUUGAACGAAGAUAUUUUCAAAAAAUAUUCUAGCACGAUAGUAUAAUAUUUUUUUGUGAUGUAAUAAAUCAUCAAUUUUUUUUGUGAUGUGAUAUAUAUAUAUAUAUAUAUGUGACGGUGUAUAUUAUCGGUGUCCGACGUUAAACAUCUAAAUCCCAUUCACCUGUCAGCGCUGCAGCUACUGUACAUAUGUGUGCUGGCCGUUAGGGAUCUGCCCAGACUAUUUUCCAAGAGAAUUUGAAAAAAAAAAAAAAAAAACCACAGCCCUUGCCCUUGCCAUUUGAAAAAAUAGCAGUACAUUUUAAUUAUGCAAGGGUUAGUUGUCCACUGCCACUGAAGAGUUUAGAAUGAUAAAUAAAAGGUAGUAGUUGGUCGAGCAAUGAUUGCGUGUUUGUAGGAACCGCUUAAAAGUUAGUAAAAGCCUUCUCACUUCUUUGCUUCUUAGGAAUUUGACAAAUUAAGGUCCUUUGGAUUGCAUUUUCCGUCAUUUUUCAUGGAAAAAUUACUAUAGCGAUUUGAUGUAUGUGAGGAAAAAAGGUAAUAGGGAAAUGUGUUCAUGAAAAAUGAUGAAAUUUUUCUACGAAAAACAGCAAUCCAAGCAAGACCUAAAUGUGCCUGAGACGCGGCAUGUGUAGAUGAGGGGCUGGAACUGCAAUUUGUACACUGUGCAUACUACUAUUAGCUACUGGCGAAGAAGAUACCUUAGUGAGAGUUAAUUUCUACGCAGGAAAAUGACAAUAAUGCUAAGAGGCAGAGUGACGAAGCCAAAAGAGUUGUUACAUCACAUCAGAUAAAGAGUAAAGGCCAAUGUUGAUAAUGUCCACGACGUAAGCAUGAGAAAAUAUCGUACUCCCACUAAGCAUCAAUCAAACAAAAUAAUAGUUAAUAAUAAUAAAUUAUUAAUUCUACAAAAGAUUUUACUAUCAAAUUUUGUACGACAAUUAGGUGAAAGAGGAAAAAAGAGAAAAAAGGGUACCUCGAUCUCAAUGCGCAGCAGCGCUAGCUCUUAAAUCCCUGCAACCGCAAGGGGUCGUAGAUGAAUUCUUGAAGAUAAGCAAAAAUGCUGUAGAAUUCCGCUAAACUUGUGUACAACUAGUAGGAGUAUGUACUUGUAAUUUACGUCAAUGUCAUGCCACAAAAAAAUAUUUUACCGCAUGCCCAGGAAAGUUAAUAAGUAUCCCUUGAACACGUCGAACCCCCGCUGGUUAAUUAAUUUCAAGAUUCACCACUACUUGCUUGUAGUUAAGAUUAAAAGGAAAAAGGGUGUGGUUGGUUGGUUGGUUUUUGGAAGUGCAUGAAAUGAUGAGCAGCUGCUGCUGCUGCUGGCGGAUAGUGCAGUAGUAGUGCCAACGCAAGCUCAGAUGUGGGAGGGAGGUGGGAAUGGGGAAUUAUGGAACACAGACAACAAAGAUCAAAGUAAAGCACCAUCUUUUCUUUAUUACCUUUUUCUAUCCAAACAUAUUAUCAAAUUAUUAUUGCUGAUUAAUAGCAGAGUAUUAGUGAUUAUAGCAGCGGUAACUACUAAUUCCGGUGCAGUAGCAGACUAGCAGCAGGAGUAGAAGUAAAAACUGUGGGGGUGUUCAAAAUUUGAACAAGAAGCAAAGGAUAUUGACACUUACAGUGAAAGGUCAUGAAAGCCUAGGACUUUUCAUGUCCCCUUCAUCAAUCAAUAGGCCCCAUUUCUUAUUAUUAUUUUUUUCUCCCUACUCUCGCGGAAUCCAGGGAGCUCCAAAAGUAGUAGCCAGAGCCACAAAGAAAGAGAGAGAAGGGGGAAAGGGGAGGUGCGGGGCGGGGGGUGCCCACCUUCUUAAGUCGUUUCCCACCAUCGGACAUGGCUGAAAACAAGCCAACAGACAUCAACAAGGAUUUCCGAAUUUUGGCCUCCUCCGAUAACAAAGACGAUGGCGGCAAGAAGCAGUUAGUCCCCAAAAGAAGUUCCAACAAGGACAGGCAUACAAAAGUGGACGGCAGAGGCAGGAGAAUUCGGAUGCCAGCUCUUUGUGCUGCCAGAAUUUUCCAAUUGACGCGAGAGUUGGGCCAUAAAACUGACGGCGAGACUAUCCAGUGGUUGUUACAGCAGGCCGAGCCCUCAAUUAUCGCCGCCACCGGUACAGGGACCAUCCCAGCUUCAGCUCUUGCAACUGCAGCUUCAGGGUCGUCUGUUUCUGAACAGGGGAACUCUGUUGCCACCGGUCUGCAUCAUCCCAAGUUUGAUGAAGUUGGGCCAGGGAUGGGGAUUAGGAUGAAUUGGGCUGCGCUGGGUGGAAAUAUCGGUAGAUCCCCUCACGUCCCUGCUGCUGCCUGGCCUUCUGUUGCAGCUGGUUUUGGGUCUGGUUUUCUGCAUAAUUCUACCCUCCUGAGCUCAAAUUCUGUGAACCAGAAUUUGAACUCCGGGCCUAAGUUCGGGUUUCAAGGCCUAGAGUUUCCGAGUUCGGCAGGUUUUGGUCAGCAACUCCCAGGUUUGGAGCUUGGACUUUCUCAAGACGGUCAUAUGGGAUCCCUGAACUUCCAAGCCUUACAACAAUUCUACCAGCAGAUAGGGCAAAGCGGAGACGGAGCCGGUUCCGGUUCGGCAAAUAAUCAGCAACAGCAUCAUCCUCCUCCUGCUGCUGGGGGUGAUGACUCCCAAGGAUCGAGACAGUAGUAGCAGCCGCUAUCUAGAACAUCGGGAUGCUUUGUCGAGAUUCAGUUUAACUAUGAGUAGCAUUAGAAGGAGAGCUGAGUGAUCUCUGAUGGUUUUCCCCCUCUUUUUUUUUAUAGUGCAAAAUGAGAUUGUUUGAAGGUUAGUGACGUCAUGGAAUCCAUUCUCGCCGGAAUGGAUGUCGUCGCCCUGCCUGAUUGAACGUGGCUGCAAGGGCCUGCUCUUUAUUCUGCUGCACAGCUCAUCCCAGUAUCCUCAUAUAGGUAAAUUGUUGCAUUAGGCUGAUUGGGGCUUCCCUUUAUGUGAAAAUUCAUUGCUGUGGGCUUGUGUUGUUAAUCAAAAUUUCAUCUUUGCCUGUGCAGGCUGGACUAAAGAGAGCCGAAGAUGCCAUAAAAGGUUGCUUGUGAUUUUUGUUAUAUCAGUUUGAGGUGUGUUUUAAUUUACAGACAAUUAACUACGCAGGCAUAUAUAGUGGUUUGAUGUUGUUGCAACUAAAUGAAAUGAGCGGCAAUUUGCCUUCUUUACCUGUAAUCUUUUGAGAGUUUCUUUAUCACACUCAUACAUUGGUUAGGAUCAGCAAAGGAACUAGGUAAUGCUAUGUUGCAAGAUGUUUCUUUGAAUUGUCAAAGGUAUCAGAACUGGUAAUUUACAAGAGGUACAAAGCUUUUUCUUUUUGCCUGCAGUGAUGGUCAAAUUAGCUGAAGGGAGAGCCAAAUGCGAACUUUCCUACUAUUAUUCAGCAAAUUUCAUUACAUCCGUAGUUCAUUUUCUUCUGCCUUCCAAUGUGAUAACUCUUUGGUAGCUUUUGGGUGAAGUAUAAUGUUUGGUACCAAACAUCGACCGUAACAUGUUGGUUAGGGUGUCCUGUGCUCCUAGCAAACGGAGUACCGUUUCUGUUUGAUCAACGAUAAACUUGGAUACGAGUAAUAGGGGGCUGGCUCUCCACAAAAUUUAGCAAAUUUUUAACGUGUCCUGAUGCGCAUUGAGAAGGAAUAAAAUUAGUUGUCUAGUACUAGUAAACUUUUAGUUAUCUACCUAAGAUUUGAUGAUAUAGAAUGCAGAGGCUGCUUCAGAAGAAGAAUCAGCUAUGGAAACAAGACUAAAAAGCUGGUGCAGAGGUUUGUUUUGAGCUCAGCAAACGCCACCCCAGGCCCUGGAAAAUUCCUGCGAGUGGCAAAACUACCUACCUACCUAAAUUGAGCUCAAAGGCAAUUAAUAUAUAUAUAUAUAUAUUACCUAAACCUGCAUCCAGUAGUCUUUCCUUUUCAAUAUGGUAACUACUCAAUUUUUGGCCCAAAUUAAGGAAUGCCCUGUUCAGUUAUAGAAAAAUGUAUCAUUGAAGGAGAAUGAAUGAGAACGCUGCAACGCUGUGGACUAAUUUUGAGAAAUUUGUGCUUGGCUUCUGCAAAAGUGCCUUGCCUUUUACUUAGCUUAUAUUUCUGUAAAUACGAGGAACAGGAAGGAAGUAAUAGGUGCUACAGGAAGCUGUACGAUAAAAAGGAUUGGCCCAUCCCACGGAUUAUUUAGGAUUUUGUGCAAGUGGGAAUUCCAACUGGUUGGAUGUCUUUGUAGAAAACUCCUUGGCCCUUCACUAGUUUGUAGACUCGUAAAACCCUCGAGUAAUGGCAUGAUAAGAGUCAUUUUGUACCUGCUGCUAUAUAGCCUGGAGGCUGCCCUUUCGUCCAACCUCGUUUGUGUCGGUGAAGAAAAGCAAAGACUUCAACGAAUCCAGGAGGGAGCAUGCAUACUUUAUGAAAAAGUUGAUGCUCAAUUUGUGAACAUGUUGGUAUUGUAGUCUACCCUGUCAUCAUUUGGUUUUUCUUCUUUUAGGCUGGGGUUUUUUUUUUUUUGCAUCGCGCGACUAGGGAUUUACGCGAGCCGAGCUACUCGCGAGUAGCUCGGUCAACGGUUUGGCUCGAACUCGGUUUGACAUUUGGUUUUUCUUCUUUUAGGCUGGGGUUUUUUUUUUUUUGCAUCGCGCGACUAGGGAUUUACGCGAGCCGAGCUACUCGCGAGUAGCUCGGUCAACGGUUUGGCUCGAACUCAGUCAAACCGAGUUCGAGCCGAGUUUCGAGUAGUUCGAUUGGCGUUCGAGUCGAGUUUCGAGUCUCAAAGUUUUGGCUCGAGACUUGUCGAGUAGCUUGUCGAGCCGAGCUAUUUAAAUAAUAUAUUUAUAAUUUAAAUAAUAUAUAUGUAUUAUAAUUAUAAAAUGACUAUUAUGGGUAUAGGUUAUACGGAAUUUACAAUAUACUCUUCUUUAUAAUAAAAUUUUAUAAGGAUAAAAAAGUAAUAACAUAAUUAUAAAAAUACCUAAAAAGAAAAAAUGUCUAAAAAAUGCCUCAGUUUUUUGGUCGAGUCGAGUCAAAAAACUUGAUUAGACUCGGCUUGAUAAGGAUUGACCAAGGGUCGAGCCUUAUCGAGUCGAGUUUCGAGUUUAGAGUGAGUACAUCGAGUCAAGUUUCGAGUAUCAAUUUUUUUGACUCGAUCGAGCUCGAGCCUAGGGAUAUAUGAGUCGAGUCGAGUUCGAGCCUAGGGAUAUAUGAGUUGAGUCGAGGCUACUACUCGAGCUUAACUCGGCUCGAUUACAUCCCUACACGCGACACAGCUGAUAACAGUAGUAGAUAUAAAAAAUCGCCAUUAUGCGAUGAUAAAAGGAGUGGGUCACCAAGCUAUUACUACUAUUAGAUGCAAGAAGUACUUCAUUCACGCAGACAAAGGCCUCCUUUGAGGGCCAAAAAAGGAAAAUCAUUUUCAAAACAAAGACUCAGGUAUUUCUAUCAGCACCAAUAGUUCUAAUAACGGCCAACAAGUUCUUAUCAAUAAAAAAAAAGGACACAAUAUUUACAUUCGUAUAUCUACAAAAAGACUCAUGAAAUUAUAUAUAUAGGUUUGUUUGGACAGCAAAUUAUUUGGCCAAAUAUAUUUGCUUACAUCAUCAUUACAAUUUUCAAUACACUUUUUUAUUUUCCCAAUUACCUUUUUAUCUCACAUACAUCACAUCACAAAAAGUGCUACAGUAAAAAUAUCUGAAAUAAUUUACAAUCCAAACAAAAUGAUGUGAGAUAAAAAGUACUCCCUCCGUCCCACUUUGAUAGUCCUGUAUUCCUUUUUCAUCUGUCCCAAAUUGUAGUCCACUUUCCAAUUGAAGAAUGUAGUUGUAUUUUAAUUUUUCUAAAAUACCCUUAUUCAAUGUAAGUAGUUGUUACUAUAAACCUACCCCAUUUAACGAGAGUUGAUUCUUUUUUUUACCAUCAAUUCAAGUUCCCAUAAAGUUGUACCAUAUUUAAUGUGAGGGUAUUUUAGGAAAAUAGCAAUCUAAAUUUACUUUUCCAACAAAGUUAAUUACUUUUUCUUAAACUGUGUGAAAAAAGAAACAGGACUAUCAAAGUGGGACGGAGGGAACAGUUGAAAAUAUAAUUUAGCAAUCCAAACACCGUACAGCUCCAAACACACGCUAAAUAGCACGAGACUGGACUCCUGAAACCGGAAUAGUACCAUGGAACAAAUUGCCUGCAGCAACCCGUGCAGAGCAGCCCAAGUAAAGUAAUGAUGCAGGGGGAGUGUCCGAGAACGGCACAUGCUGCAUGUGGUGCGGACGACCUCAUAAAACCCAAAAGUUCAUUAAAAGGGACGUGUCUCAGGCUUAAGUGCACUGCAAAUUCUUAGUGGUGUCGUCGAACCGUUCAAUUUCGGGCCCGGAGGCUUCACGACUCUAGCUUUAUGCCUUUAUCAUGGCCAAAAUUUGGCUUUAGGGCUUUAGGGUUCCUUUUUUUUUUUUUUUUUGCCUCAAUGCUGUGCUCUAAAAACACAUGAUAAUUAGUGCAUCAAAUAAAAAGGGUGGGUGCACCACUAAAUCUACAAAACUAUUAUUAUGUACUCUCUAAAUUGCAUGAAAAGAUUUACCCCCUUAUGGAGAAGUGACAAUAAUAAUUUAACAAUUUUGCUUCUUUUUUUUUUUGGUACUUUCUGUUAUUCAUUAUAUAUUUUAAUCUUGUUCUUAAAAUGCAGUAGUAUUAACUUUGAAACGAUACCUUUUUCUGUUCUAGACCUUUGACGGCUUUCUAUAUACGAAUUUGGAAAGAUAUUCAACCAAGAUAAGAAAUUCAAUCCAGCAUUUAACGAAAUAUGGUCGAAAGUUGUUGAUUAUCCAAUCAUCAAAUAAGUGGAAUUAGAAAAAGACUAUUCACGCACAACACCCAUCCUCAGAUGGGUCCAAAUAUUCUAAACCUCUCAGGUGCCUUUAGAGAUGGAGUUGAAGCUAAUCAGCAGGUGGGCAAAUGCGAUGGAAAACUACUACUAGUACUUGAUUUAAUUAAUACGUACUAGUGCUAUUUCUUUUAUUUUAGUAUUACUCUUCAAACUUCUUUCCACGCCAUCUCAUAUCCCUCCAAAAUUGGAGGCUUCUGCAGAUUCUACAAAGUAAUGAGCCGAAAACAGUAGUCAUGUAGGCCACGACUCACGAGGGCCAAUAUCCAUAUGAUUUUAAAGCCUUAAAGAAUGUAGUGUAGGGAGCGUGGACAACCUCAUUGCGAUGUUUAUCAAUGAGUAAUUUCUGGACCCCACAUAGAUAUUCCAAAUCUGGAUGAAAAGCGCCGGGGUACCGUACAAUCAAUCAAUAUAAUUAUGCUGAAUCAUACUGAGGGUUAGUCACAAAAACUCCCUAUAAGAUUUAAUUAGUUUUGUACUUUACCCCCGAUGUUUCGUUAUUCAACUAACAUUGCAUAUAAAUAUCAAAAAGAUACUGAUACCCCUAAGGGUUAAUCACAGUAAAUCCCCUUAAUUUUGCACUCCAAAUCAAUAAUAUGUUUCUCUCUUUUAGUAUAACUAACAAAAAAUAUAUAUACUUCCAUAUCAAAAAAAAAAAAAAAAACCUAGCUACUAAAAGAAACAUUUAGCCACAUGCACAUUCUCAAAGAGAUAUUGACAAUAUCCCAACCAAUUUUAUACUUUGGAAAUAUUUUCAUAUUUUAAUCUUUAAUAACAAUUUUUGUUUUUUUUUCCAUUAUUAAUUCAAAUUAGCAAGAUAUUCUCCUUAGUCUAAACAAAAAGUGCAAUUAUGGAAUGAAAUUUAACUAGGACCAUAUAUAUAAAAAUAAGGAGGGACCAGGUGGUUCAUCAAACCCCUGCCUAGCGUUACACAUUCUCCACCACCAAUAUGACAACCAGGAUAAAUCAUCAACGUGACAGAGAGGAAACAAAAUCUCAGCCACGUCAAUAGUGGUGUAAACGGUGUAAUGCCAGGUUGAGGUUACGUCGCGUUGUAGGUCCUGAGCGAUGGUGACAGUUCAGAAACCUUCUCCCUCCAUAAACAUAACAUCACCUUCUUUUUGUCAUUAUCUUAAAUAAUAGGUUUAUUCCUUCAAAAAAAUUAUAGGUUUAUUUUUUAAAAAGAAUAAUUAGUUUAUUAAUUUAUUAGCAUGUUCAUAUUUAAUGUACAUUUUUAUUAACAAAUAAAUUAUUUUAUUGAUCAGCCAUUUUAGGAUUAAUAAAUAAUACAAUCUAUAUUUUUAUUACAACUAAUUUUAUAUGAAUUCAAAUUUAAAAUUUAAAACUUUUCCACUUCAAAUGAGUGUUUUAUAAAUCUUUUAUUUUUUGUUUACAAACUUUAACCCUGUUUUUCUUCCAUAAUUAAAGAAAAUAAAUUUGAAAAUUUUGAUUAGACCCAUAUUAAAAGCAUUAACCCAGUUACAACUUUAUCACUUUGGCCCAUUUUACUCUUUGAUUAAUAAAGAUUGAUUUGUCAAAUUUAAGGAUUAUUCCCAUUUUUUUAUCAUUUACAUAGUAACAUUUUUAGCACUUUCUUUCUGGGUAUAUACAUAGAUUUGUUAACACAUUCAAAUGAUAUAUCCAAUUAUAACCAUUCUUUAACCAUUUUACCUAUUGCAACUAAAUCAAUUUUUUUAGCAUUAAAAUCAUCCUAUUAAACAAUUAUUUUGACCAAUGAAGUAAACAUUCUGACAAACAAAAUGUUAUCUAAAUAAUUUUUGACAUAUGUAAAUCUUCAUCUGGAUAAUUUUUCAUAUAACACGUAUAUCAAAAAGUGCAAAUAAAAUUUUUUUAUAUGAAUUUUAAAUUAAUAAAAAGGGCAUUUAGAUUUUUUUGAGUUUUUAUCAAAAAUUUUAAAACAAGUAUUUUUUAAACAAUGAUCUUGGGUGGUUAUCACAAAAAAUAGUAGUAUUUCACCAAAAUUAUACCCAAUUAUUUUUCCUUAACAACUAUAAUUCUAACUUUUUUGUUUGAAAAAAAACACACUUAAAAAGUGAGGCAACGAAUCCUAAAUAGUAAAAGGAGUAUAAAUAUAAGAGUAUAGGGUUGGAGAGGGUAAAGUCAAGGGAUCUGUAGUCGUAGGUUGGGAUGAAACUCUGAAAAUAGGGUGAUUUGUGUGGGUUAAAUGGGUAUAGUUUUACAUGAUUUUGAUUAUUUUAACCAUUUAUGAUUCACUACAAAUUUUAUUUAUUUUUUCUCCCAUAUUCUGUAAGCAACAAAAUACGAUAUCAUUGUAAUCAGUAAAAAUAAAAACAUAUUAUAUUAAUAAAUAUAUUUUUAACUAAAAAAAUUACACAGAAUGACCAAUAGUGGUGAGUUUCAAAUUUCACACUUUAUAAGAAUCUCAAAAUAAUUUAGAUGUGAAUACAAGAAAUCAAUUAACACUCAAUGAGUUAAUUAAAACUUUGAUGGAAGGGAGGGAGGAAGUAGGAUGAAAUUUAACAAAAAUUUAAAAAAUGAAAAUUAAAGAAUAGAGAAAGAACGUUAAAUGUGCUUUUGCAAAAGGUAGAAUAUAAUUAUGGAUUAAUUUUUCCUACACUGACCAUGUCAGCGUUGGAUGAAUGACAAAUAUGCAAAUUUUGAAUUUAAAAUUUAACUCUUGCACAUAUAUCAUAGAUUCAACGAUGAUAGUGUAUACACUGUCAGGGUGUAUAAGAUUUACUUUAUAAUUAUUGUAUUAGUAGUAAUGUAAAUUUACUCACUAAUGAAUUCAAAUCUACGUCUAAUUUAAUUAGUUCUAAAUAGGUAGUACCAAUCUAUCCAUUUAAUAUCCACUAAUUAAUAAAUUUAAUUGGGUUACUUAUUUGAAAUUGGGUUUAAUUGGGUUAUCCAUUCAUUUAUCAUUAAUCCAAAAGCGAAGGCCAAAGGAAUAAGAAAAAGGGUAUGGAGCUGAAGACAAAAGGCGCGUGAGCUUCUAUUUCUGGUUUGCAUUUAGCAGGAUGAGCAGACAAAUACUAGUACCACCAAAAAAAAAAAAAAAAAGGUCAGAACAGGAGAAUUUUUCUUGUACCGUCAUUAAUCAAACUUCACAGCGCACAUCUUGCAAGUCAACGGGGAGAGAGAGAGUGAGAGAGAGAGGCAAUGAGGAAUCCAUCCGCUUCCUGCUUUGGAGGAAUUCUCCGGAAUCAUAAUCAAUAAUGCUCCUAUUCGUCAAAUGAAGUAGAAUUAAAUACUGCACCCCUUCAAUGUGUUAAAGAGCAAAAUCUAGCAUGGCCAUUGCUCUCGUUAGGAAAUCUUGGUAGAUUUUUGGAACCUAAAAAGCCAGUCUCCAACAUUUAUUGCUCGUAUUGUAGCACCAAAUAUAGUAGUAAUUAGAAAACCACCCAAUGACACUGACUCCCAACAAAAAAAAAAAAAAGUUUCUUAAUCUGGGAAUGAAAAUGACAUGCCUAUUACCCAUUUUACUACAGAUUCUUUAAAGGGUAAAAGAUCCUAAAACCACAUAGAGGGAUAGCCGCCUACCCAUACAAGAUCCUCUCUCUUUCUCCUUCUCCAUUAAUUCAUAUUCCCACUCUAACCUAAUAUUAAGAGAGGGCCAAGAGGCCAGAGCUACAGGAUAGCAGCCUACUCAUACAAGAUCCUCUCUCUCUCUCCCAUCUCUGUUCAUUUCUAUUCCUAUUCUAACUUAUAUCAGGAGAGCUCAACUGAACCAAAAGAGACGCAUGUUAUAGUUUUUUUUUUUGGUCAAAUAGUGUUAUAGUUAUUUAGUUAGGCCCAAUUGUACAGAGUUUCGAACCCUUAACUAUAAUUAGGUUAUUACUUUAUACUUCAUUUGGUGGCCAACUCAUCGAUCGAGAGUUGAUUAGUUUUUGAGAUUCCAAUUGGAAGGAUAAUAAUUUGGUUAAGCUUAGAAACUUGCCUUAUGAGUAGAGAUGUAUAACGCAAAACAAAUUCAGUAACACUUGUUACCAGUAACAACUGAUUUAGCUAAAUAGGAGGAGAUUUUACUUUUAGAGUUUACAUUGUUUAGACUAGAGUUACAAACGAAUCAAUCCGUUCGCGAGCCGCUUGAAUCAAAACUUGACUUGAAGUCAGUUAACAUCGAAUUCAAGCUGACUAAAUCGAACUCGCAUUUAAAAAUACUUAACUCGUUAGUUCGUAAGUCGACUCGAUUAUAUAUACAUACAUAUUUAUUAAUUUUUUAUAAAAAUAGUAAAAUUAUAUAUAUAUAUUUCAGCACCGGGGAUUGGGGGGAGUGGGGAAGAGAGGAGUAUGGGAUCCCACACAAGCAGCCAGAGACAAGGGCGUCUGGCCAUAAGUGUUUUCUUUUCAUGGAUUUUAAUUUGUUUGAUUAAUUGAAGGACCGAGUCCGUGAUGAGUCGCGAGCAAAGCUGAACUCAGGAGGUGUAAAUUUCUCUUCCUCCAGAUAAGAAAGAAAUUACCACUACCACUACUACUACCCUGGGUACAGCUCUAGAGCCGCCGCCGCUAGGGUAAGUAGUUAGUUAGUAGUCCUUUACUUGCUAGUUCAUACUUCAUACUAGUCAGCCAGCAGUAGUAGCUGUGCCCAACACAGCACAACACAUCCACCUUUGCUUCAUUUGCCCCUACCACUAGCAUGCUUUUUAUACCUGCCAACUCCUUCCUUACCACUAACUCCGGAGUCCAGACCUCUUCUCUCCAUUUCUACACAAUUUGACUGCACCCAUCCACCAACGUUGUUGUUAUUUCCAGAUAGCUACUGCAAACUUUAAUUGAGAGACCGGAGGAUUGAGUUGACAGUAAAACAUUUAGUACAAACAAUCUUUUCGUCUCCCUAAAACUCUUGCAGAAUUGCAGCUUUUUCUUUCCCUUUUUUCCCCCUUAAUUUAGAUUGAGUUGUUGUUGAUAUGGAUUACUGGACUUCAUCUGUCAGCGUCGAUGAUGAAUUUGAGAAGCUUGCUCUUCGAAUUAACCCGCCAAUGUACUUUUCUCUUCUUCCGUCUAUCUUCAUUUCCUACAUAUAUUUAUUGGAUUUCCUUUUUCUUUUGGUUUUUGGGUUGAUAUAUUGAAAUGGGCUUUUUUCAUUCAUUGUCGAGGUUUCUACUUUUUAAGCUUUUGUCCCCCUCCCCAUAACAUACAGCUUACUGCUGAAGAAAAGAUAAAAAGGUUGUGAUUUUUUUUCCCGUUCAUUUUAGGUAAAUGAGUGUGAUUUCCUAUAUAUUGCUGUGUAUUUUCAAUCUUUCCUUGAUGUUUGAUGUAUAGGGUUACAGUUGACAAUGAAUCGGACAAGAAAGCAACUUUGAUCAAGGUACUGCACAAUUUUGUUUAUUCUGUUAGGUGGAGUGUCUUGAUUUGACUUGAUUGAGGAAGAUUUUUGUGUAACGUGUGAUGUAUCCGACUGGAAGGGGAACAGUAGUCAUUCUUGUUUUACAUAAAUUACGGUUGAUUCCAUCCAAAUUUGAUAUUUCUUCUAUGGAAUCUGUAGGUUGAUAGCGCCAAUAGGAGAGGAAGCUUAUUGGAGGUGGUUCAGGUUCUUACUGAUUUGAACCUGAUAAUCAAACGAGCUUACAUCUCUUCAGAUGGGGAAUGGUUUAUGGAUGGUAACCUACAAUUCUUCAAGUUUGUGUAUCAUUCCCCAUCUACUUGAAAAAAAUAAAAACUUUACACUCAGACUUAGCUUCUUUUCUUUCCGAUGAUAUUUGUUGCAGUAUUCCAUGUUACUGAUCAAGAUGGGAAUAAGCUAUCUGAGGAUAAGGUGGCGGAACGCAUUCAGCAGGUGGGUUUGCCAAUUAUUCAUAGUUUCAUGUAAAAGUUACAUUAUUUUUCGUUUAAUUAAUGACUGAGUAAUGUUUCAAAUGCAUUAACCUUGGAAGUUUAGGAUUUUGGUCCCUUCUUAAUGGUUGCUUUCUCAACCAUAUACUUUUCUCUUUGCCGCAUCAUCCAACCUAGACAGAGCUGUCAUGGUCUUCCUUUCAUCAAUGUCUCAGAAGAGAUGGAUCUUGCAGCCAUCAAUUGUUUUUUAGAAGUCUUGCACUUGGUUUAAAACCACUAUGGAUAUACUCGACACUCUGUAAAUUAGUUCCUGUAGGUGUGGUCAGUGUUAGUAUCUUAUCAUGAUGCUUGAAAAUUGUGUGGCAGUCCUUAGGACCAAGGGGCCGAAGCUUUCGAUCUUUCAGAAGAUCUGUUGGUGUCCAGCCUGCCCUGGAGCACGCUACUAUCGAGUUGACAGGAAGAGACAGGCCUGGAUUGCUCUCAGAGGUAUUUGCUGUUCUUGCUGACCUCAAAUGUAAUGUAGUUGCUGCAGAAGUAUGGACUCAUAAUUCAAGAAUGGCAUCAGUAGUUUACAUCACUGAUGAAGUGAACGGAGUUGCAAUAGAUGAUCCUGAACGACUGUCUAAGAUAAAGCAGCUUCUCUUGCAUGUUUUAAAAGGAAAUAAAGAUAGGCGAAGUGCUAAUACUGCUGUUUCUGUUGGUUCCACCCAUAAAGAACGGAGACUGCACCAAAUGAUGUAUGCUGAUCGUGAUUAUGAUAAUGAUGUCAUGGAUUGUGCACCUACAAGCGACCGUACCAAGCCACUCGUAACUGUAGAAAAAUGUGCGGAUAAAGGCUACACUGUUGUGAACUUGAGUUGUCCAGACAGGCCUAAGCUUCUUUUUGAUACAGUGUGCACAUUAACGGAUAUGCAGUAUGUUGUGUAUCAUGGUACCAUCAUCGCUGAAGGACCAGAGGCUCAUCAGGUAUACUCAUACAACCUUUAGUUCAGUAGAAAGCUUUUCGUUUUCCAAGUCCCAGAACAGUAGUUAUGCAUUAGGACUGAGGCAGCAGAUAAGUCCAUCCAAGGUUUUUGGCCAUUUAAAGCCAGAUUAUGAACGAUUUAAAGUAUUGACAAACAUCCUGGCUUUAGGAGACAAGUGAUCUUGGAAUUUUAAUUUGAUCUAUACUCUAUUCCUGUUUGUAUAGGAAUAUUAUAUCAGACAUAUUGAUGGAUGGCCCAUUAGUUCUGAAGCAGAGCGACAACGUUUAAUUCAUUGCUUGGAGGCAGCUAUAAAGAGGCGAACUUCUGAGGUACUAAGUCCAAAUGGGAUCACUUGAAAUAAAGCUUACCUCUUUCUCCCUGACAAUGACUUGCAUCCAAGUCCUUUGAUGUUUUUUGUCAUGCAGGGAAUAAGGCUAGAAUUGUGUAGUGAAGAUAGGGUUGGCCUACUGUCAGACGUAACGCGCAUAUUCAGAGAGAAUGGCCUUUCAGUUACUCGGGCAGAGGUCACCACCAGGGGCUCUCAAGCUGUCAAUGUGUUCUAUGUAACGGAUGCAUCAGGUUAUCCUGUAAAAAACGAGACCAUUGAGGCAGUUCGGAAAGAAAUAGGUUUAACCAUACUCCGUGUCAAGGAUGAAACGUACUCAACUUCACCACCCCAGCAGGGAGGAAAGUUUUCUUUGGGUAAUUUAUUUCGAUCAAGAUCAGAAAGGUUCCUCUACAACUUGGGUCUAAUAAAAUCAUGCUCCUGAGCAUUUGAAUAGGGGAGUUAAGUUGGAAAUCCGAUGCCAGGAAAAUGCACGUGUGAAUGGGAUAGAAUGGGAUUAGUGGUAGGUUAAAAAGGCAUGGCAAAGCCUUUAACCAACUUCGUGUUGAUCCUUGAUUAAGGCCUCAACCAAUCAACUGUGUAUUCUGCUUAAGCCUUGUAAAGUUUCCGGAUAACCUGUAAAUUCCAUUCCCCCAGCUCUUUUCUUUGUUGUUGUUUUUUGGUGUUGGUGGGCAAUGUAAAUCGAUAAAUGGUUGUUAGAAUGUUGGUAUUGUUUUUAGGUGCAGCAACUCAGUAGUCAUUGGAUAAUAGCACGGGAAGUGGUGAGGCAAUGGGAGAUGGACAAAACAAGCAGCAAGUACAUAUACAAGUACAUAUAUUCAUUGGUUUCGAAACAUACCUGAUGCCUAACCCAAGAGCGACUACGGAGUUUUAAGGAAGACCCACUCAUGAAUCCCUUUCUGAGACGCCUGUCAAACGACUUUCAACGAACAUUAGCCGCCAUUUCUGUUUCUAUUGUGUACUACUGUACCUCCCUCCCACCAUGUGUGAGUGUGAGUGUGAGAGCGUGUACGAGAAACGAGAGUAUAUCAUUUUUUUUUUGUCGCAACAGUAGAAUUCCUAUAACCUAAUUUAGUCUAAUCUAGUCUAAUCUAAGGGGAGGGAAGAAAUGAGAGCAUAUCGUAAGAGGUGCAGUAUGUGUAGAAAAUUUCAUUGAAAAGUUUGCACGGCACACAAAUGAAAUAGUGCAGUGUGUGAAAAGUUUGCACGGCAUAAUACACUCUGAAUUUUCACUGAAUAAUUGUGCACUGUGUGUGAGUGUGAGAGAAUGUAUGCGAACACUUUUUGUGAUGCGAUGUAUAUAAAAUUGAAAAGUGAUUGAAAAUUGUGUUUACGAUACAAACACUAAUAAUAUAUAUUUACAAAUUCUUUUCCUCAAAUUAAACUAUCCAAACAAAUAUGUCUAUCGCUGAAAUAUGCCUUUUGAAGCUUCUAGAUCGCAUGGACAACACUUGCAGUGAGAUGACCAGGGCAAAAAAUGCUUUUCGUCACCAAUCCCAUUUUCAGCUCCUGAAAUAUACCUGAUUUUUGCUAACCUUCUCAACAAUCAAGAGAGAGAUGGGUUCAGGGCACCUUCCUCAACAGUCAGAGAUACGUUAAGGAACGUAGCUGCUCCAACCAUUCAUCAUGUAUCAACACGGUUCUCCUCAAUAGAAAUGAAGGAUCAGCUUCCUGCACUACUGCAUUUUAUCACUUAAUUCAUUCCCAUACAGUUAGGUUUCGACCAAGCACUCAAAUUACCCCAAUUUACACAACCAAUACAAAACCACCAUCCAUCCAAAACUGGAUUCAUAAUCUCCCAGAGCAACAAAAUAAACACUGCCAUUUCACUGAAAGAUUAUAGUAGGUCGGUAACGCAAUGUAUUCUCACGAUGGACUAAGCUAAAGUAACAUUUUAGUUGUCCCAGAAAUACCAGUUUUUGGACCAUAAUCCUGUAUCAUUAGCAGCUCUGACAGUACAGUACAAAAGCCUAAACACUCGGAUUAAGCCUCACUAGGGAAACAGCCCACUACAUCAAAAAGGCAGGCCCAAAAAAAUUAAGGGGCAAACAAAACCCUGAACAUGAACACGCAGAGGGAAUCCCAUAUUAGGCCACUGGCAGCUCGCCACAGUCACUGACAACCACCCUCAAUCUAGGACGAUCACCUCUGUCAGUUUCCUGCGACUCGAUCAACCUGACAAUAUCCAUCCCCUCCAAAACUUGCCCGAACACAACAUGCCGCUGGUCCAGCCAUGGUGUCUGUAAAUUGCCAAACAUAAACAUGAGAAUUCUUGUUUAAGAAAACAAUUGUGAUAAAACAAUCGAGGCACCCCAUAAAAAUCCUAAAUCAGCUAAUUUCAAAUGAAGAAACAUGAAGGCUUCCAAUUUCCAAAGUAUCGUUAUUUUUUGUAUUUUGCUCUUGUAGGAUUGCCAAUAACCAAAAAUUAUCAGAUACAAGAUACAUUUUUGACAUAUUAAGCCCAUUCUGAAGGAGGGAAUCUCAAUUUAGCUUACAAAAAAGCAAAUGCUGAAACACGAUUCGAAUAGAAGGAAAUUGUAAAAAAUUAAAGACUGAUGGGAGAGAAGAACUACAGAAGCUUGGAUGACUGAUUGACAGGCAGUUGCUCUAUUGGAGGAAUUCCAUGAAACACUCAUGGUAUCUUGUUGUUUAAACAUGUUAACAUCCGUAAAAAAUGUCACUAUCCAGUUUCAGCUUAAAAGUGGAACAAUCACUAUUAUAAGUUUUUUCUCCACCAAGCCCUUCUACAUACCUUGACAGUGCAAAUGAAAAACUGACUCCCGUUGGUAUUGGGUCCAGCAUUUGCCAUGCUAACCACUCCAGGUCCAGUAUGAGAUACUGCAAAUAUUUUAAGUCAUAAAGAGAUUCUCAUUAUUGGUAUACUGUAAUACCAUCUUCAGAGAAGGAAAGAGAACAUAGUCAGAUGUAAAAUACCAACUUACACUUGAAAUUUUCAUCUUUAAAUGUGCGGCCAUAGAUACUUUUACCGCCAGUUCCCUGCAAUCAAAAGAAAAUUUAACAAAAAUGACACUUUUAGAUAUAUAUACAUGCAACUUGGACAUUUUCACAAGAAAAGCAAGAGCACUCUGAUAAUUAAGCUGGCCGACAAAUCACCUGGUCAUAUUAGGACAUUAAGAGUUAGCAAACAUAUGAAUGAGUCUGCAAUUAACUUUGCAAACAUUUACAAAAGGCAGCUCUAAGGAAAUCAAAACAAAAGAGAAGUCAAAAAUGGUGAUGAUUGACUGGUUUCAUAAGACAAUCCAGAUUUUUACCAGGAAAAUGCCUGAACAUGGGUUUGGGACAGGUGGAGUUGAGCGAUGCUCUUAAAAAACUCUACAACAGUUCCAGUGAGGACAUGUGAUAAACAUUUGAGACUAAAAAAAUCAUUUACAUCUAAGGACCACUAGAUGCUUGCUCCACUAAUGCCUAAAAGCAUCUAAUUUCCUUAUCUUGUUUUCCAAAAAUAGAAUCACAUUCUGUGGAAAUAAACUUGAGCAUAAACCAAUUAUAAGUGCUCUACUUGCCCAGUAAGAUCUUACCAGCUUCAUCAUCUGAAAACUCAAUUCAUUGGCACCUUUUCAUGCAGCCUUAUAGCUUGAAGGUCAAAUUAAUAAAAAUUGAGCUUCCUAAGUGACAGAGGAAUCAGAGUUAUAAGAUGGGCAUAAUUCAUGCUUCACCAAUGUAAUCGCGAACCUCGUAUACAAGCAUGAGCACUCUAUCGUACUCUGAGAAUGUAGUAAUACAUUACUCUGCUGUGAAAAGUGAGAGGUUUCACAUCAAUGAUAGUUCUUUAGAUUGUGGCAGACAACGUGACUGUUCAGUUGGGUCACACUUGAAACAAGAAGUAGGUUGCCGACAGCUAGGGAUUGUGAUGGUCAACCAUAAAAUCAGAAAUUCCAGAAGUACAAGUUUAUAAAUGAGCUUGUUUAUAUCUGUUGGUGGUAGUCAUUAUAGGCAUCAAUCAGGUAUGAUUUCAGUUGUAUGGAUGAAUGAAAAGUGAGUCAGUAGAUCAAAGGAAAAGAAGCACAAACAAGUAAGGAGAGUUUUACGAAUAUGAUUUGGGAACAUUAAUCACUUGACUUACAUUGCCUUUGUCAAAGUCUCCUCCUUGAAUCAUGAAAUCCUUGAUAACACGGUGGAAGCUGGAACCCUUGUAUCCAAAACCCUUCUCUCCUGAUGAAGUAAGGAUUAGGUAGGCUACUCAGGCGAAAAGCAUCAGAUAGGGAGAUGGUAUAAAACUGAAGUGGCGGCGGAUAAUGUAAGGGAGGAAAAACCUGUGCACAAAGCACGGAAGUUUUCGGCAGUUUGGGGGACAUCAUCCCCAUACAAUCCGAUGACAAUCCUGCCAGCAAGCUUCCCUACUGGAUUUCCAAUGCUGAUGUCUAGAUAUACCUUGUGCGUUACUUUGGAUUGUAACGAAGCCUCCUAAGUCAGAUAGUAAUGACAUAAAUGAGAAACUCAAGCAUGAAAAAAUAAAAGAAAUUAGUAAAGUAGGCAAUAGUUGCAGUGCCAGAGAAGCGAUGGAAGUUGGGAGGGCACCAAUUAUGUUGGGAAAUGCAGAUAUAUCACAAAGCAGGUCUAAAAUUCUACUUAAUUCCAAUUGCAAUAAAAGUUUUGCAACCAAUUUCCACUUCAGUCUAAAGGGCAGGGCUUGCAUUUAGGAGGGUUUUCUGGAUUGUCCCCGACUGAACCCAGAAUUAAAUCCCAGAAGAAGAUGGAGAUGGUUAGAGAUAAGUAGUGAGAGGAAUUAAUAAGUGACCUCGGACAUGGCUCGGACAGAAAGAAGAAAAGCGCCGCGUUUGCUGAGAAGCAAAGGGUUUGAUGAGUUGGAGGAAGACGUGAGGCGGCUGGAACCGGACAGGAAGGUGGAAUGACUUGCAGUAGAUACAGUGGCUGGGAUGGGCUUGGGAAGACAACAUGAUGGGAUUGAAAUUCUUGAAAUCUUCAGAGGACACAGAGUCCUGAUUGGAGCUGAAACCGGGCCAACAUUUGACUGCACCACAACAACAAGCAUAAAUAUUCAAACCCAAGAAAGAGAACAAACAAAAACAAAAAGCAGAGAAAUCAGAUGAAAGAGGGAGAGAAAUGCUUACUAGGGUCGCGAAUGGGACGGCCAUUUCAGAUGUGGGACGUUAUAGUUUCUACUGUCUGUGUGUGUGAAAAGUGUGGUUUUGUGGUGGGAAGGGGGGGGGGGGGGGCGGGGGGAGGCGACUAAAGAGAGAAAUCAAUCAAGUAGAAAAGUGUAACAGUAAGAUGGCUGAACUGAACUCAAGAGAGGAAAGGAAGAAUAAAGAAGACAGCGGAAGCGGAUGAUGAUUAAUGGAUGACGGAGAGGUCGAGCUUUGUUGAAAUCCCCGUUGUGCUCACUCACUCCUCCGCCUUUUCACCCGAUCGACAAAAUCCCUAAACCCACCCUAUAUAUAUAUAUAUAUAUAUCAAUAAAAAUUGCACGAUACACAGUACUCUUUUUUGUUUUUUGGUGGCUAUAGCUUAUUCGACAUUCUUCGGAUGCAAAAAUUAUAUAUCUUUUAUGAAACUGAAUAAUAAAAAAAAAUGCGAUGACCAAAAUCUUUUUUUAGAUUUAGUGGAAGGAUUAUGCAGAGGCCCCGUCCUGGGCCCGUACACGUGGCAGCCCAGGGCGAUCCGAGUUGGGCUUGGACCCCGGGCCCAUGGGAAACCAGCCUAGGUCACGCGGCGGCUAGGGCUCCGUGAGGCUCCCGAGAGCUACCCCGCAGAGGGCGGGGAGAAUCCCCCUCAGCGCGGGAUUGGGAGCUAUCCAAGGCAAGUCCCGAAGCGUGCGGAGGUCGGACUCCUAAGAAGGUAUAAGUAGUAACGCGCAAUGACUGCGCAAGGUACGCUCACUAUUCGGCUAAUCCACUCUGACUAAGUUAAUCCCCGGGAACCCUACUCACCGGAAAACUAACUUGACCGUCGGAGUGCCCUCGGGGACCACCUCAGGGCCCCCUCGUAAGUCCACUCCUUUCUGUUUUGCAGGCUUGGAACCAGCUCUUCCAUCGGCACCCCGAGCUCAUCAGGUCAGCUCGGUCAGGGGAAGUUCCGUGCUUCUUCAGUUGGCGCCGUCUGUGGGAACCGAAAGGUAAUUGUUAGUGUUGAUGGCAAGAACACGAUCCAAGCGAACCGUCGAAAGCACCGGUCCCGGGGCCGGAGAGGGAUCCCGCCGAGCGGAGAACGACGCGGUUGGGGGCGCUGGGGGCUCCGCCCUCUCAGGGGAGCGAAGACAGCAGAUCCUCCAGUUCGUAACGGAGAACCUCCCGAUGCUGGAGGACCUAGUCCGGCAAGCGAAGGAGAAAGAGGGGGCUGGGGGCGCGCAGACUUCCAAGGCUAAGGGGAAGGAGAAGGAGUUUCCCCCUGACCCUUCGGAGGAUGAGUCACGGGAUCAGCCCCCCAGGAGGAAGCGGCCGCGGACUCCACCUCGCCCGCGUCCCUCGGUGGUCGGGGACAGUGAAAGGCACUCUCGUGACAGGUCCGCGGGGAGCCGGUUGAGGGACCCAUCCCCGAGGAAGCCUGUGCGGAAGGGGCUUGACCGCUCCCCCACCCGGUCUGUCAAGAGCCGGCCGAGGGACCCUCCCCAAUGGCAGCCCGUCCGGGACGAGCUCGAGCAGAUCCUGCGACUGCAACCGUACGAGGACGACUAUGCGGUUUCGCCCUUCACUCGAGAGGUCGAGGACUACCCGUUACCUCGGAGGUUCAAGAUUCCGAACAUCGAGCUGUACGAUGGCUCGGCUGACCCGGAAGACCACCUCUCGGUCUUCCUGACGCACAUGCGUCUACAAACCGCCGCGGACGCCCUCCGUUGCAAGACCUUCCCCAUGUUCCUUAAGGGUAAGGCACGGCUCUGGUUCCAGGGCCUGGCAUCGGGGUCUAUCAGGUGUUUCACCGAGCUGGCCAGACAGUUCGCCGCCCAGUUCGUCUCCUCGAAGACUUAUUCGAAAAACGCGGCCCACCUGAUGGCCAUCAGGUAGAGGCCGAGUCGUUGAGGAAUUUCAUGACCCGUUUCAACACGGAGAGCUUACAGAUCAGGGACAAGGACGAAAAGGUGGUCAUGGCCGCCUUCAUGAACGGGCUCAGGGUAGAGGAGCUCUUCUACAAGUUGGCCGAGAAGCUUCCCGGAGACAUGGAGGAGCUCUUGACCCGGGCGCACGCAGCUGCCAACGCAGAGGAGGCAACGCUCGACCCAGGAGGUCGGCAUGGCUGCCUUUAAAGUUCAAUACUCGGCCCAAGAGGUCGGCAGGACUAUCUCUAAAAUCCUGAAGCUCGACCCAGGAGGUCGGCGUGGCUGCCAUUAAAGUUUAAUGCUCGACCCAAGAGGUCGGCAGGGCUAACUUUAAAGCCUUGACGCUCGACCCAGGAGGUCGACGAUGCUCGACCCCAAGAGGCCGACACGAGAAGUUCUAUUAUGCUCGGCCCCAAGAGGUCGGCACGAUUUAAAGCUUCGAAACCUGGGAGUUCGACAAGGCUCGACCCAGGAGGUUGGCGCAGUUUGAAGCUUUAGAGUCUGAGUUUGCGGAAAUCCGGGAAUUCGACGCUCGACCCAAGAGGUCGGCAUGAAUACCUUGGAAGUCUAACGCUCGGCCUAGGAGGUCGGCGCGGCCUAUCCUUAAGAAUUUGACGCUCGACCCAAGAGGUCGGCAGGGCUAACUUUAAAGCCUUGACGCUCAACCCAGGAGGUCGGCAUGGCUGCCUUUAAAGUUUAAUGCUCGGCCCAAGAGGUCGGCAGGGCUAUCUUUAAAGCCUUGACGCUCGACCCAGGAGGUCGGCGUGACUGCCUUCAAAGUAUGAUACUCGGCCACAAGAGGUCGGCACGGCUUGAAAUUUUGAAGUCGGAAAGUGCGAUGUUCGGCCCCAAGAGGUCGGCACGUUGUGCCUUAACUUGAAUGAGUUUGUUUGACCCAGGAGGUCGGCAAGGCUCAAAUCUUUAAAAGUUGGGGGCUUAAACCAUGUCAGUGGCAAUUUGAUGCUCGGUCCUAUGAGGUCGGCACGCAUUGAUCAAGUUUGUCGAAACUUGGGAGUUUGGUGCUCUACCCGGGAGGUCGGCAUAUGGCCUUGAUUGUUAGAGUUUGGCGCAGGCGAGAAUUGCAAAUAGAGGUUAGAUAAUUUCAUUCGAAUUACGUCUAUACAACCUAUCUAUCACAAAGCCUACCGAGCUGAAAAGAGGAGGCACCAGUGGCUUGAAAGGUGGAGAACUUGCUUGAGCCUGGGCAGUGCGACACUGGGCUCCCACGUGGCAAGGGUAUAGAUCAGGUUUGCCUGGGAGCCUGACCUAAUCUAGGGGGCUAGUGCAGAGGCCCCGUCCUGGGCCCGUACACGUGGCAGCCCAGGAUGAUCCGAGUUGGGCUUGGACCCCGGGCCCAUGGGAAACCAGCCUAGGUCACACGGCGGCUAGGGCUCCGUGGGGCUCCCGAGAGCUACCCCGCAGAGGGCGGGGAGAAUCCCCCUCAGCGCGGGAUUGGGAGCUAUCCAAGGCAAGUCCCGAAGCGUGCGGAGGUCGGACUCCUAAGAAGGUAUAAGUAGUAACGCACAAUGACUGCACAAGGUACGCUCACUAUUCGGCUAAUCCACUCUGACUAAGUUAAUCCCCGGGAACCCUACUCACCGGAAAACUAACUUGACCGUCGGAGUGCCCUCGGGGACCACCUCAGGGCCCCCUCGUAAGUCCACUCCUUUCUGUUUUGCAGGCUUGGAACCAGCUCUUCCAUCGGCACCCCGAGCUCAUCAGGUCAGCUCGGUCAGGGGAAGUUCCGUGCUUCUUCAGAUUACAUGGUAGUAUCCAAUCAAUUCAUUCUCUCAUUUUGUUUUUUAAUUUUUGGCCACAAAUCGGCGCGAUGCGAUGUGAGGACUCUGAUGUUCUAAAUUUGUGGAAAAAAAGAUGUGCCAUUUCGACGCGCUGCAUCAUCAUAUCCUUAGGUGAGAGACAUGCUCAAGAGCAGCAAAACAAGGGCGGACGCAUUCUUCCUGAUCUAUAACCUUUUUUUUUUUUUUAUCUUUAGCAGCAGUAAAUUCGUUAAUUUCUCUGAUUUCACCUUUUUAGCUGCUGAGUAUUGAAUUCGAUAUAUUUUCAUCUUUUUGCUGAUUAGCAGCAGUAUUGAAUUUAACGGAGGCAUAUAGGUCAGAAUCCAUUGGCACGAACGACAGUCAGCCUAGUAAACGCUUUCAAUGACAGAAAUCUUGUACAAAAGCUUGCCAAUGAAAGGCAUCGCGUCUUUUAUUAUAUGAAAGUUUACAGAUUGAACUUUUUUCAAUACGCUUCCAAAGCCUCUAUAGAAUUAUUACAUAGAAUAAUGACAAAGCACAGAGAUUUUGUGAUUAGUAUGUCCUGUAUCAUCAGUUUGAGAUCGCUUCACAGUUCAUCACAAUCUGUUCAGCUCGGAAACCUCGUGAUCUAUCCUUGAGACAAGACUCUACACAACCUUACACGAGCAUGUAGCUACUCAUUUGAAUUCCAGGAUGACCUCAAUCGUCUAACGAAACCACUGAGAUUUGAAUACGCGCUGAAUCGUAUUCCCCAUGAUUGAUUCCAUUUCUGAAGAUGACAAGGGCACUUGUUGGGCAAGCCGAAAGGCAGCUUCUUUUGCUUCUUUGUAGCCACACUCAGCGACAACGUAAGGAAAGUCACUGCAGCAAGGCCCAAGAUUGAACUUCUCGAGUUAGCUCCACAAUGAAAUGGGUACUUCUGGUACAUUCAAAUCGACGAACAUUGUCCUUGCAUUUUCCUUUAGGUUCAGAAUUUGAAUUAUAAGACAUUUUACCUUCCCCACAUGACUCGGUUUGCACCGAAGCUGGAAACUACUUGGGAUAGAACUUGGCAUAAAUCAUCAUACGGAUAUGGAUUUCUCGACACUCGAAACAAGGCGCUAAAUUUUACGUAAACCUGUCAGGCAGAAGUUACUCGAGAGGUUAAUGAAUGCGUAAUAUUGAAGGUUUUGGUAAUGUAAGAAACCAAAAAAAUUAAAAUUAAAAUUAAGACAGGGCAAGGGCACAUGGGAUAUCACGUAUGCAUUAGACGAUCCACGAUUCAAAUGGCAAAGCUGAUUUGCAGUCUUCUUCGGAAGGGAGGGAAGACUAAGACACGGCCCCGGCCACUUAAGAUCAAGAAGAUCAACUGUCAAUAGCAAAUACCAGAUGAGAUGUAGCAUAUACUUACUUGCGGAAAUCGGGACAACUUUAGCAGUUCAGAGAAGAGUUUGCUUUCCUCGUCAUUUCUGAAAGAUGAGACGCAUCUAAACAAGUAAUCUGAUCCUUCAUCCGUAUCACUAAACAGCUCUACUACUAUGCUUUGACAGACACGGUCAACUUACAUUGGUGGUUUACAGAAGGCCAGAUGAUCGAGCAAAACAGUUGUUUUAGGAAAUUCCAUGCACAGUUCCUUAAUUUCUGAUAUAUGCAAAUUCAGACCCUGCAAAGAUCAUCUCGUUAAAGUUUUGGGACACUAACUGUUGACUACAAGUAAUUUUACCUUUAAAAUAUACAAGUGACAGCAAUGAAUUGACACAGACCUUCAUGCACAUAAAACCCACUGGAACUCCAAGUUCUCCUGCUUUUGAGAAAAUAGCCUUCCCAAUGUCAUUUGUCAUCUGCAAAGAUCACUAAUGUGCUUUACAUCUUCUUUCCUCAGUUUCAUUUAUUUUAGUCAGGUGUGAAUAUGAUAGGAUUUAGUUUUUCAUCCAUGAGUAAUCACAAAGAAGACUUCAUCACUUCCCCCCUCCUGCAUCUUGAUAUUAAACAACUUGUUAAUGGCAGAAUUGAGAUCAAACACCACCUCUACACCAUUAUGCUUAGACUUUGUGACGUGGGAAGUUGAUACUGUGAAAUUUUCAUAGUUAAGCUAAGUACAGUACAUGAAUAUACAGCUCAGCCUAGACGUGUAGUAGUUUGCUUAUAGAGUUAGUCCUUGGUUUUGAGCUGAUUAGCAAAUUUAAAUUCCUUGUUCUCGCCUUCCAAAAGGUAAUUUCCAAUAAAGGGUUCAAGAUACCAUCAAAAACAAGAUAUAUUGUAUGACUCCAUGAAAGCAAUAAUCAUGUGGGUGUAUUCACAAAGAAGGUACCUGUUGACCAGAAGGCCACAAAUACGGAUUAAAACGUACUGCGCGGUAACCAUCCUAUCACAAGUGAAAGCGGUCUGUCAAAAAAAAAAAAAUCCUUUUCCUACAAUAUCGGUAAAAUACAGUUCCAUAUUCCUCAGCACCUUCAAGAUAAGAUUCUCAAACUCUUCAAUUCCUUUUCCAUCUUCAGUUGGAUUUGCAAGGCAGCAACCGACAAACUUGGAUGGAUACUUCUUCAGCACACUGUUCAAUGAUCAACUUGGCAUAAGGCAACUUCUGAAACUACAAUUGACAACAUAGAGGAAGAAUGAAGACAUUAAACUACUUCAAUGACUCGAAAACCAUAGAAGUCUAAUUGCCAAGAUGUGCAACUUAAAAAUGAAGGCAACUUUAGCUGGGCCGCAUUUGAAAGCAAUAAGGACAAAGAAAAGCAAUAAAUAAAUUAUUUGGAAAAUUGUCCUCAAGAAUGACAAUUAUUUGAAAAAUUGUUCUUGGAGAUCCUCAAUGUACGAUUUUCCACCACUUGUCUCACAUAAAUUACAUCAUAUCACAAAGAGCUGUUACAAUAAAUAUCAAUAUAUUUUUUUGGGAAAUAACCUCCGUCCAAAUGGACUCCAUAUAAUGCUCUUCUUUUUAUAUUGAUGUUGUUGUUAUGCUUAUUAAUCGUCGUAACAUUGUCCUUCAGUUUUUUUCCAGGUCUUGAUAUUUUACUAUUUGACAUCAAAACUUGCUUAAAAAGAUUCACAGCCAACCUUCAAAGUUUAGUCAUGUACCCCACCGUAACUGCCAAUUUUGGAUAAUCUACUUUAAAACUAGUACAUCAUUUGCAUACGCUUUCAACAAUUAGUCAGAAACCACAGGCUUGCGCCAUUGGUGUACAGAGGAAAUUUGCAAUUGAUCAGAGGGACUGAAAUUCUUGACACAACAAUCGUUUGAAUACAUGAACUUGAGUAUGAUCACCUGACCUUGUCACGUAAGAAUGAUCAAAUUUGUGAUUUAUGGGCUGCACUAUUAGUGCACCAUCUACCCCUGCUUCUUUCAUGCACUGCAGAAUAUACAGGAAGCAAGUGAACUUUAGUUACACGAGCAUCUGGGCAGAAGGGGUGAAUGAGACAUGGAUGGUUGAGGAAAGGGGGAAAACUUUUGUUUAUAUGGUGGCUAGGAAGUCUCUACUAGCCUACUGAGACGAAGCCAAGGUGACGGGCAUCAAUAGUAGGAGUAAAGCAUACUCAAAACUUAGAUUGAUGUGAAAAGGAUCGAUGCCUAAAAAAAUGGAGGGACAUGGUGUUCACUACUAGCAGCACAUUGAUGGAUGAGCGAAGUUGAAAAAAGCAGGGUUCUGCAAAAUAAAGGGUGGAAAUUUCGCAAUCACCAUAGGUUAAGUUGCAAGAGUGACACCGGUACGAGAAUUACCCGGAGCAAAUAGUCAGCAUGACCUGGUAAGGUGGGUUCUUGGCCGGGAAAAUAGGGGUAAUUGUCUGCAGCCUACAUGUCAAUUGAAAUCCCAGAUAAGAAUUAAGAUAAAAUUUGGCGGUUACACGCUUGUAGGAAAAACGCCAAGACUAGCCAAACCUGAUAUACUGACAGUGGAGAUAGAUUUGUGUUUGGUGGGAAAGGUUACCUCCUGAGGAGAAGCCCAAACGUGCAGAUGCGAGUCGAUUACGCUGGACAUCUUCUUGGUGCUUGGUUGCUUAGCAUUAUCAUCAUCAUCAGGGGUUGCCAUUUGAUUCUCUACUGCUGAGACCCGUAAUCGACUUCCAAGUCUACUAGAACCAGUCUGCCUCAGUAGUCUUAGGGGUAAGUUCCAGGACUGAGUUGCGCAACUCACACUCAAACUCGCUGCCAUUAGCCCAAUUACACUUUUCUACGCCCACACACACACACCGCCAACCUUGUUUUCUUCACAUCACCAUGAUCUUAAUUUUAUUUAAAUGCUCAUUCUAUCCUAACCCCAACAAACUGUUGCGGUGCAGUUGGUUAUCAUGUCAAUCUAACGCACUGAACCUCUGCGGCUCGAGUCCGGGUGACGCCAAUUCUUGCUAGAUCUAACAUUGAAUUCAAUCAGACAGGUGAUUAUUUGAAAUAAUCAUUUCUAUGUGCUUUUAGUUUUUGGGAUAUUUUUAAAAAAAAUUUACUAUUGCUAUGUACUUUCACGGCAGAUAGAUAGAUAUUUUUUGAUAUAAUUUUUGAAGAUAUAUUUUAAAAUAUUUUACUAUUUUAAAAUUUUAAUAAAUUAAAAAAAAAUUUUAAAAAAAAUCACCCCUCCCUACUGCUUCUCCCCUCCUCCCUCCACAGCCCCUUCUCCCUCUUCCUCCCUUCCCUUCCCUCCUUCUCCUUCCCUCUCCCCUCUUGACCAGAUAGGAGAAGAGAGGGGAGAGGGAAGGAGUUGCAAAUUAGAGAGGAAGGGGGCCGAGAGCUUUUGGUGUUGGGGGGGGAGGGGAGGGAGGAGGAGAAAGGAGGGAAAAAGGAAGAGGCAAGAGGAAGGGAAGGGGGAAGGUAGGGGCGACAGCAUCGAGAAUAGUGGCGGCGAAUUCCAACGGUGGAUGGAAGAGGACAGAGGUGACAGGUUAUUUAUUUAUUUGCAUUUGAGAGUUAAGAAUUGUUAACCAUUUUUAAGAGUUUAUUAUUGUAAUAUUGUAUUUAAAAAACUUAUUAUGAAAAAAUAACCAAUUUAUAUAGACCUCUAAUAUCAUCCACCACACUUCAGAUACAAAAGUAUGCACGAUUCUUUUCAUUGGUAAGUAUUCCUAUCAGAUUUCUGUCUAUACAAGCUUUACUGGGCUGGCUAUAUCCUGCCAAUGGAUUCCGAACCUAAUAACCACACCAGCCACCCUACAAUAAAUGCUAAGCUGCUGCUAAAAAGGUGAAAAUGAAGUAGGACAAAUUAAAGAAAUUGCUGCUGCAAAAACUUUACAGAAACUCCUAAUCUGUACAGCAACUAAAAAACUGGCAUAG